CCCUUGAAAUCAAAGCAGAUGUAUGGAAGAUGAUUCAAAUGAGGCAUCUAAAAACAAACGCAUCCACAACAUUGAAAGGCCCUCUCGCUAAAUCAAGAAAAAGUAAAGAAGAUUCUUUGAACUUCAAAACACUUUCUACAAUAUCACCUGAAAGUUGUACAGAAGGACUCAAGUGCCUUCGUCUUAAUCACUGCAGUAAGCUUGUUGAAGUCCCAUUUGAACUGGCUAAUGUUCCAAGCUUCCAGAUAUUGGACUUGAACUGUACCAGCAGAUCAGCAGCUAAAUCUGCCAAGAAAAUUUCGGAGCAUUAAAAGCAAAUUGGUGGUAGUGGAUUUAAGCUUUCGAUUUACCCUUCAGAUCAUGAUCAAUGAUCUCCAUUUGCUCGAAGCUCAUAAAUGCUACUUCACAGGUAAUAUAUUUUAAACUUUGUUCUUUUCAAUUGAUAUAUCUAUUCCUACUUAAAACUUAAGCACCAAGAAAAGAUUGUUUUUUCCCCUGUGCCCUUUCUAUUUCUUAACUCUGUGUGGAUAUAUGCUCUAUCUGCUAAUCCAUGAUUUGAAUCAGAAAAAUCUGAAAGAUAUGAAGUGGAAGUCCAAGUAAACAUGUUUGCUACUAUCUUACAUAUUACUAACGAAUUAUGAAAAUUAUUUCUAGCGUAAUGGUGUAAAAAUUCAAUGAUAUGAUCAACUCAUAUUUUUGCAGGCUGAUAAUCAGAUGAACAGUGAUGUCAUGAGUGUUGAAUAAAGGAAGUUUAGAUGCAUGGAGCCAAUGUUUCUCUUCCCUGUGUUUUUCCAUUACGUUCAAUAAAAAAUUGCACUUUAUUGUAUGUUGAACUUCAAAAUAUUGGUAGUUUCUUUUUACUCAGUGUGUUGUAUUGCUGUAAUCAUUUUACCUUGCUUUAGCUUUUGACUAUGGAAUUACUGCUGCUUUCAUUUUACCUACUUAUAAUUUUUUUUCUUGACAAAGUGGCAAAUAGAAAACUGCAUGGUCUUGCGCUCUUACUUUAUUGCACCUAAUGUAAUUUGCCUUAGCUUGAUGAGUAUGGUCAUUGUACUUUGAGCAGGUUUUGCUAAGUAAAUUAAACUUACUUUUAUGUAAUAUUUCAUUCACGUACAUAUAUAUUUGGAACCUAAUAGGAGAGGCUUAUUCUCUUAGAGCGACCCGUUGUAAUUUUUUCAGGAUUUCGAAGAUCGGAAGCCAAUGGAAGGAGAGACUUGUAAGUUUUGGGUAGAAUUAUGAGUGAGUUAUAGAAAUUUCAACCAAAAAUUGAGAUCUAUUGUAGUUUGCUAUAGUUGCAAUAUAACUCCAAAUCCUUCAUUGUCUUUAAAUUGUGGUUGGGUUCUUCCAUCGUAUCCAUAAUUGUGUUAAAUACAUUGAUAAAUAUAUUCCUUCUAAUGUGCAUUACAUCUAAAUUAAAUGCCACAAAGCAUAUCCAAGAAUGUGUUUAAUCAAUUUAUUUUUUCUUACAAGCUUUAUCGGUUAUAAUUUUGGGAAGUUUCUUAUAGUGGUAACUUGACGUGUAAUAAAUGAUGCUACCAAUGGCCUGAUUUUGUAAAGAGGGCAGGUUAGUUUCUGUUUAACAGAACAUUUGAAGACUUGUUUUAUGCAAACAUUAAUUAUUGUAAACAAGAUUAGAGUUGUCAUCCUUACUUUGGCUUAACAUUUUAAACAGGUAAAGAUUUGGUAUUUGAUUAACCUUUGGAAAAGGAACGUAAUGUACAGGCCCCGUUUUCAUUGAGAAGUAUGGUGCCUCUAUUACGAAACACGACUUCAUGCCGGUCCACAAUAUAAAAGCACAAAAAAUAAAAAAAAUAAAAAAAAAUAAAUAAUAAUAAUAAUAAAUAAAUAAAUAAAAUAAAAUAAAAAUUCACUCUACAGGCUUGCAUGUACAUAAUCACAAUAAGCUUAACCCUCUAUUUGUCAUCAUUUAUUUUACAUUAUUUUUUCUAUAGUACUCAUUAUUAAUUAAAUAAUAUUACAUGCAGAUCAAAAACUUCCCUUUUUUUUAACCACACAUUCUUCAUCAAUUACUAUUUCAUAAUACAUUUCUUCAAAUUAUCAAGGCUCAAACAAGGUUUAAGCAGGAACAUAAAAGGCCAUCAUUUACCAAAAACAUAAUUCAAACAUGUCAUUUCUUAGUACAAAAAGAUGAUCAAAGCAGUCCCUUAUAAGUUGCGAUCAAAAGAGGCGGCUAGAUUAGAACCAUAAUGCGUUAGGAAUGAAAAGAUUAUUUGAAAUAAAAGUGAUGAAAUAAAACUUACCUUGAAAACCCAUUUUUUAGUACAAGGUUUCGAAAAACUUCAGCCUUGUUUCUUCAAGACUUUAACAUGCUGUCCCAUGCUAGGGACUCCAACCCGCAACUCUCGCAGGCAAACUGAUAAUGUAUUUUAAGUGAGUGCACUAAAUACUCGUUAUAAAUAGAAACUACACCCUCUUAUAAAGUUGGGUAACAAUAACGAAAUACUUUUGCAAUCUUAUUUCCAUAAAUCAGAUUCUGAAGCAGUAUUACAGUUCAAGUGACUAUCUAGUUUGCAUAGAAUAUUUUGGAAUUGUUCCGAGACUCAGAGCCUUCUAUGGAAUUUGUGAACUGUGCAUCAGGUUUUCAACUUCCGACGUUCUUUGCCUCCAUAAUUAGUUUGUAGUAGUGUUUUGCAAAUUGGUUAGCAAAUCAAUAUUUUACAUUGUUUGUUGAACUUGGUGUUUGUGAAUAUGAUAUGACACAUCUCUAACUAUGACUUGUUUCUUUAGUUGUGGCAUUCAUUUUUAAUAUCGUGUGUUAUUAUACUAUUUCAUUUUAUUACCUUUAUUAAAUAAUGUCCGUAAUGAAGUAAUUUCUUGGUUCAGUCUAUUUUAUCUAAAUAGUUUUUACUAUGAUUCAUAUGCAGAUAAUGCAAUUCAUAGAGACAUAUAUUAUUCACCUAAUAAUGGUAAUGACAUAAACCUUUUAUUUCGUCUCUUACUAGCUCUUCCGCUCUUAAUGUUUGGAAGGUUUUCAACUAUAGUUGGCAACCACAUAUACUUCUCAUAUUGGUCAUAUACUUCUCAUAUUGGUCUUUGUAACGCUUAUGUGGCUGAAAUUGGUAGUGACAAUAAGAUAAAAGAUGUAUUUUCGAUAUUUUUUAGUGUGGAUGAUUUAGUUUGACCCAUUUGGUAUGAACUAGACUUCAAGACAUGCAUAUCCCAUCUAGGCAAUAUGUCAUAUGCCGGAAAGGCACUAAUUGCCCACAUCAAAAAAACUUUCAUUCGAAAAUUCUUCUUUAUGUAUAUGUUGUAAGUUUCUUCUUUGUAUAUAUGUCGUGAGUUUCAACAUCUUUACCCAAAAUAGUUAUACUUCAUCCAUUAUGCGAUUCAAAUAAACACAAAGAUUUAACCUGGACACUUCAAUGGCGAGAAAAACAUACUAAAAAAUUGUAAUCAUAUUACAUGCACAUACAAAGUGGGAGAUCACCGUCUCACUGCAUUCCUCACAAUUUUUUUAUAGGAUCCACCGCAAUCUGAUCAUAAAUAAAGAAUAAUAUCCCGUGUACAUUUUUCUUUUAUUGUUCGUACCAUGGGUUGAAUGAUAUGUCUACCUUCCAAAUUUCAGACAAUUGUGUUAACCUAUGGUUGACUUCUCGUUUUCAUUAUCACAAACAAAUUGCGUUUAUUUCUAACAAUUUGAAUUCGAGUGUUGACAGAGAUUAUUGCACAUCAAUAAAAUUGAAGACAUAAAGUUUUUUGCAAGUAACGAUCGACGUGAAAACAAAAUUGAGGUUGUGAAAAUUUCUAUUGAAAAAAUCUUUGAAAACUUUCAAAAAAAAUGCUCAAUGAGAAUCGAGAUAAAAGUUGAAGUAUAGUCAAGCAUGCAUGUCAAGUCAUUCAGGAUGAAGCGCUUUCAUUGAAGAUAUUAGAGAUAGACUUUUUUUAUUCAUAAUUGAUUUAAUACUUGGCAAUGAAUCGUGAAAAGCUCAAAAUUGAUUUUAUGCACGAAAAUAAUCAUGUUACAAAAAUGUUUGCGUAAAGACUAUUUUUCAAAAGUAAAAAAACUCAAUCUUACGUUUGUACAGUGUCACUUACCUUGAAAAAUCAAGUAAAAACGACCUUCAAAAGAUUACAUUCGUAAAAAUCAUAAAAGAAGGAAAAUUCUGAAAAUUUUGUCGUGGCAGACGUUCGGUAGGUCCAACGGUUAAAUUUUUUAACCAUUCUAAAUUCUGACUCACAACGGCUACUACAUUGCCCAGGUACUCUAGCGGACGUCCGAUAGAAAGCGUCCGGUUGUAUAAACUUUUUGACGAUUUUUCAAAUAUAAAUACCAUCUCACUUUGUAUUCAUUUAUAUAAUCCGAGAGCAUUAAAGUAAGAUCCUUUUGAGCUAAAAUAUUUAAUCUCUACUCUUUAUUUAUUAUUAUCAAUACAAUUAUUUUUUAAAAACUCUUCAUUGAUUUUUUUGGGGAAAUCAUUUCAUUCAUCAAGGUGUUUCAAAACCAGCACUUGAACUUUACUCAUUGCUAUUUAUUAGAGUGUUUAGCUUGCUUUCUCUAGUUGUACAGAACUUUGAAUAUAUCACUUAUUAUAAGAGAAAUUUCAAUUUGUAAUCUUUUUAUUUUUCAAACUCGAGGGUUGUGUUGAGGUCCCGUAAAACUCAACGUAAUAAAAGGAUCGUGCUCAUUGUUUGUAAGUCACGGGAAGCAUUAUAGAAGAUUGGAUUGCACCAUAAGACAAUCAAAUUUAGUGAAAAGGGCCUUACUCGUGCCAGACAACUUGGUAAUGGGGGACGUAGAUUAUUGCAUUGGAUCGAACCUCAACAAUCAAAUCGUUUGCAUUCUCACUCUUCUUUUUACUGUUUUAUAUUGUGCUCAUUAAUUUUUUUUAUUUGCUAUUUGUGUGUAUCUAUUUUAUUGCUACAUUUGCUAGUACAUUAUUUUUAGACUUGAAUUAUUUUACAAAAAGGACAUAAAAACCAAUUCACCCCAUCUUGGUUAGCUAUUCUUAGGCUUUCAGAUUGUACAAGAGAGCUUUCUUUAGAAGUCUCCAUUUCUUAUCGACGAUUAGUGGGAUUGUCACUCUUUUUACUUUUCGGCCAAUAGAGAUUUAGGUGUAGCUCCCAACCUUAAUUGUGUGCUUGCUCAUAUGGAUUGUAUUACAAGUAUGUAUCAUCUGAACAUAUUAGAUUGUCAAACUUUUAUGUCUUUGUAUUUCGAACAAAUUUCAUUCUCCCAAAGGCAUGUUAUCUUCAUCAAUUUCGGCAUAUUGAUCCUCUUGGAGAGACUUCCUUUGUUUAUCCUGUAUUUGGCAGGUCGGUAAUGUCAAUAUCAAUCUCAAUAGCAACGCAUCCGCAUCAACUUCAUUUAUACCUUAUACUUGAAAAUUUGGUAGUUUACGCAGCGCUGCUAAAGGCAGGUCAUCUUCAUCAAGUUCAAUGAGUUUAUGAUAUCCUUCCAUUUUAAAGCAUGAUAAGAUGGAGAAAUCCUCCAUGCUUGUUAUCUUCAUCAAUUUUGAAAUCUUUCAUCUCAUAUUGUUGUUGUGCUUUUGCUUCUUUCCGUUUCCUACAAUCAAAAUAAACAAGUAAAUCAGUUGAAAAAUUAUGAAAAAUUUAAAUCGGAGUUAGAAUUAAAAACAAAACCUAAAGUAGAUAAAUUGGUCCCCAAUAAAGACAUUAAAAACUUGAUUCUGUGAUUCUCCAAGUUUACGGAUCGUGACAAGUAAUAAUAAUGGCAAGGGUGGAGGUAGUGGGGGGCAGAGAUGGGCUAUAGCCUAGCCCUACCCUCUACCCCAUCUGGAAAAUUAAGAAUAAAUUGUGUAAUUUUGAUCCAAAUAUUUGUACUAGCCCAGCUCUAAUUUGAAUUCCAACUCAAACCCAUCUUUAUAAUUAUUAAGUACUAUUUUUAUAUUAUUUUAUUUUCAAAUUAGGCAUUUUAUUUAAUGCAUGUUUUAUUAAAUUUACUUAUAAUAAUUAAGUAAAUUUUAGAUAAUUUGUAAUGAUCAGAUUUAAAAAUUAAUUAUUUUAAUAAUUAGAAACACUACGUCCUUGUUUGGUAGAGAUUAAAAUUUGAAUUUAAAUUUAAAGUCAAAAAUCAACAAUUAUUUCUAACCGCAUAUUUUAUGGAACCCAUAACUUUUUAACCACACAUUUCAUUAAGUGCCUUCGUCUUAAUCACUGCAGUAAGCUUGAUGAAGUCCCAUUCGAACUGGCUAAUGUUCCAAGGUUCCAGACAUUGGACUUGAAAUGUACCACCAGAGCAGCAGCUAAUUUUGCAAAGAAAAUUUCGGAGCAUAAAAAGCAGCCAGGUUGUACACGUCAAAAAACAUGGUGUUUGUUGAAGAGUGAUUCUGUGACCCUACAACCAGUCGUUUUUAAAAAUCAAGAAAUAUGGUAUUUGAUGAAGCAUCUUUAUGAUAGACAUCGAAAAGGGUGGAGUUGCUAGUUUGAAAGAAAAUGGAUGAUAAAUUACAAGAGGAGAUCACAGAAGCACAACAAAGCCCUAAGGAAACAAAAAAUGCAUAAGAAUUAAGUGACGAGAAUGAGUCUACUAGUGAAAUACAAAAUUCUUGGCAAACAAAUGUAUAUCAGACAACACUAGAAGAGAUACCACUGAGUUAAGAGAAAGUUGAGGAAUAAUUAAGCCCCCAAACACAGUUGAGAAAAUCAACUAUACAGAGAAAAUCAAAUCCCAAAUAUGCUAAUGUAACAGUAGAAGAAGAUGGCAGUAUUAAAGAGUCAAAGACCUAUAAAGAAGUGAUCUAACUCAAGAAAUGAAAAAAGUAAUGAAAGAUGAGUUCAUGGCUCUAAAACAAAAUAAGACUUGGGAUUUGAAGCCAAGGCCUGAUGGAGUAAACCCUAUAUCCUACAAGUGGGUAUACAGAGUAAAACAACUUCCUAGUGGAUCAAUGAAAGAUAUAAGCCCCAACUAGUAGCUAGUGGAUUAUCACAACAAUAUGGACUUGACUAUGAUGAAAUUUUAGUCCAGUGGCAAAGAUUACUACAAUAUGAGUAUUUAUAGCUUUUGCAACGAGCAAGUCUACAAGCUGUAUCAGAUGGAUGUGAAAAAUAUGUUUCUCCAUGAAGACUUGAUUGAGACAUUUACAUAAAGUAACAAAAAGGACUCGAGAAUAAAGAAAAGCCAGGGUAUGUUUGCAAGUUAACGAACUCUAUAGGUUAAAGCAGGCACCACAAGCGUGUACAGUAAGAUAGCUGAAUUUUUAGAUCAAAGCGGUUACUUAGUAACACCAGUCAACUUGAGCCAAUUUGUCGAAGCACGAAAUGGAAAAUUAACAAUAAUGCUAUUGUAUAUGAAUGAUCUUAUCAUCACUUGAGACGAAGAAGAUGAAAUUUAAUGAACUAGAAAUAAUUUAUCAAUGAGAUUCCAAAUGGAAGAGCUUGAAGAGCUAAAUCAUUUUUUGAGACUUAAGAUGGAAGGACAAAAGAAGGAUUACUCUUGUGCUAGCAUAAGUAUACACAAGAUCUCUUACAAAAGUUUGGGAUGAUUGAUUACAAACCAAUACCAACACCAAUCAAGAUUAACUUCUAGCUAUGUGCAGAUGCAGGCAUGGAAUUAGAGAAUGCAACCAUGUUCCAGAAGCUAGUAUGAAUCUUGAUCAAAUUAAUGCUAACAUAACUUGACAUCGCAUACGCAGUUGGAAUAGCGAGCUGCAUCAUUGAAAUGUUGAAGAAGCCACACCUUGAAUUAGUGCAACGGGUCUUAAGGAUAACUUUCUUUUAUCUUCUUCAUUAUAUUCCUUUCUAGGUUUAGGAAUAGUUUCAUUGGGUUUACCGUCAACUUUAAUAAUCUUGGUGGGCACGUAGAGACCAUGUUCAAUAACUUCCCAAAUAUUGUAAUCUAUUGCUUGAAUGUAAAUCAUCAUCCUAACUUUCCAAUAAUUAUAAUGUGUGCUAUCAAAGAAAGGAAGACGAUUUAUAGAAUGCCCCUCGAGAUUUUGACUAUUUUGGUUAGCCAUUACUCAAGAUUGUGAACUCUUUUAAAAUGGGUUCCUUACUUUGAUAACUAAUUACGCCCAAAGAAUAACACGAUGGCUGUAGCACAAUUUUGGGGUGUCGAUUCCAUAGGGAGAUGGACGAAUUGUUUAAAAGAUUUAUCGAACUAAGAUUUCAUGAAUUAUGUGAAAAUAAUUUGUCAAUUGAAAUGAGAUUUAAUUAUCAAUAAGCGAGAUUAGUGAAACGUCCGAAUUCCUUCAGUUGGAUUGGAUCAUCAAUAACAAUAAUUCGUGACUUUUUGCUCAAUUAGAGGUUUUCAUCUCAACUCUCUAAUCAGAAGAUUUAACAAUGAAGAUCAAUCAAAUUUCAAUUGUAAUCCUAGGAUCUAGAUUUUUGUAAACCAUUCACACACAUGUUUAUUGGACUAAGAUUAAGAAUCGACCAUAUUCAGAAUGCAUAAGAUAGUAAAUAAUCCACCAAUAAGGUUGAUUGAAAUUGAAAUUUAACAAUUAGUUCAAUUCCACAAAAAAAUAAAAAUAAAAAAAUGAUUGAAUCUAUGAUGAAUCUAGUAAAAGUUAAAUAAAUUCCAAUGUAAAUUCAUAAAAGAAAGUCUAGAUCUAAAAGUGUUUGGCCAUAAAAAUACCAAUUUGCAUGAAUAAAUGAUGUGAAGUCUCCAAAUCCAAUGAAUUCCUUCGUAACUUCACCUAGGAAUUUAGUUCUCCAUCAAAUUCUUUAUGCGAUUUUAAUUUGAUUUGUAAAAAUAUUAUGGUCAUAUUUAACUUCUUUUGACUUCUAAUUGCACCCAAUGGACUCCUAGCUUUCUCGAAUCAUCAUUUCAUCGCACGUCUCAUCUUUAGAUUGUUUGCAACUUGAUCCUUGAACUUUCACUUUCUUCUAUUUUGGUCAUUUCUCGUUCUUUUCUUCUAAAUUUCACAUUUUCUACCAAAAUGCAACUUGAAUCAAAGUAUAAGUAUAAUGAUGCAUUUUGGUAUCAAAUAAUCGCAUGAAUGCAAUAAUUAAGAUAGGAAAAUAUUAUAUUUUACACUCUUAUCACACCCCCAACUUACUUAUUGCUAGUCCCUAGCAAUUUAAUACAGAAUAAGCAAAUAAAUGAUUAGAUUGUGAUACAAGUGAAAUUAUUAAGUUUCAACUUAACCGUAAUUCAUGUUCUUUUCACACUUAACACCACAAGAACUUAACAAUGUCAUGACUAUCAAGAUAUCAAAAACAUUUACCAAAUGUGUGAGUGUGUGUCAAGCCAUAACCAUCUUACCGUCCACCCUAACACAUGCAGCAAUAAGUAUGUCUCAAGCUGAAGGUUCAACAACAUAAUUCACGGGUAUCAAAGUGUUUAGUGCGAUUUUGUCUCUAUGGAGUUGAGAAAGGGUAUACAUUCAUAACUUGGAGGCUUAAAUAUUUCUGAAUAAGCCAUUGAUAUUGUGAUAGGCAUAUUUCCAAAUGAGAAUCCAUCACUUCUUACCACAACAAUACUUGGGAUCAAAUCAGUUAAUAUAAAAGGUUGUAAUGCAGUUUGAGUUAAACUAUAUGAAAGGAGGGAUAUAAUGAUUUAAAAACUUCCAAGUACAUAGCCAAGUGUAGCAUCAAGCUUCUCAAUGGAUCACAUCAACACAUUCUAUAUUACUUUCAACCCUCAAAAUCAAUUAUUAAAAAAAAAAAAAAUCUUUUUUUUGUUUUGUUUUUUGUUUUUGUUUUUGUUUUUUGGUUUUUGUUUUUGUUUUUGUUUUUUUGAAUAACAUUCUCUUCUUCUUCUUCUUUUAACUUUUAUGACUUCACUAGAGCACUUAUCAACUUUUGUCAUCUCUUUGCUUAUUUUCUUCACAAUUAAACCUCCAACACCUACUAUACACUUGGAAGUGAAAAGAUGGGCAAACACAUGUAUAGGUCUCACUUCAAUGUAGAGGGAAAGGGAUAGCACGGGUGCAUGAAGAAAAAUGUUAGACAUGUGUGUGUAUUGGUUCAAAGUGGCUACUAAGGGUUAUAAUCAUGAAAGAAAAUUCGCUUGAAAGGUUAAGAUUUCAUCCUAAAUUGACUGUCAUCAUUUUCCUAGUAAUCAACAAUCAUACCACAAACCAUGUAACGUUAUUCUCAAAAGAGUUUCCAAUUCACAAAACCAAUGGAUGCUUAUUACCAUUUUUAGUAUAUAUGGCUCUCAAUCCUCAUCAAUUCUCUCACAAGAAAACUUCAGCAAGAGACUUUUCUAACUACAUGUGUUAAACCACUAUCUCACCACAAGACUUGUGUGCACAAAACGAUUCAACAAGUGUCUCAACAUCUAGACUCACAUGAACAAUAUCAACUCUUAAUGUCAUAUUUUGUCAUUCAAGAACAUGGACAUGUAGCAAAUAGAGACUUGAGGAAAAAUUAAGACCAAAAUUUCAUGUAAAUCAUGCAAUUCACAACAAAAUUUAAGUUAAACUCUCCCCCAACUAAACAUUGCAUUGUUCCCAAUGCAAAACAUGUCUGCCAAAUAAGGAUAAGGAAAGAUGUCACUUGAGUGCCGAAAUGAAUCACAUGAGCUGAAAUAUAAGAAGCCUGAAAGUCUUCAAUGGAAAAGUUGAUGCAGAAAAUAAGAAUAAACUAGAAUGUAGUGAAUAAUGGAUGCAAUGCAAAUAAACCUAAGAAAUGUAGAAAUAAGAUAAAACAAUGGAAAAGAACUCCCCUUGGGUUGCCUUCCAUGCAACGCCUUUAUUUAUUGUCAUUAGCUCGACCCAAUGUUUAUUUCUUUAGCUCGCAUCCAACCAGGGUGUUGUCAACACUCUUUGCAUUGCACCAAGCUCAGUGGAAAUAAUCGUCGGUGAUGUUCCACAAUCCUACAAAUCGUCAAAUGCAGCACAAAUAUUAGCAUAUUCCCCAUCAUCAUACCCUGUUAAAAUUUUAGAAUUUAAAAGAAAAGAGUUUAAAAGGUUGGCGUCAAUAAUUGCAGAUGUUUCCUUCUGAACGAGUGCAUCAAUCAUGAAUGUUUGAUGACACUCGUCAUCCUCCUCAAGUUGCUUCAUGAUGUGAAAGAUAUUGGCGUCCAGGGUCAUGUUCCCAAAUCAUAGUUUCAUUAGACCAUUCCUGCAAUUGAUAAGAGCAUUAGCUGUGGCAAGAAAAUGUCUACCAAGAAUUAUGGGAAUUUUGGAGUUAACAUUCACAUCAACUUUUAGGUCCAAAAUCAAGAAGUCAAUAGGGUAGUAAAAUUGGUCAACUUGUACCAACACAUCCUCAACUACUCCCCUAGGCCUAAUAGUGGAUCGAUCGGCCAACUAUAAACUUACUGAUGUGGAUUUCAUCUCUUCUAGCCCUAACGACAAAUAAAUAUUAUACGGCAUGAUGUUGACACUAGCUCCUAGAUCAAGAAGGGCUUGUGAAAUCUCAUGGUUCCCGAUAAUGCAAGAGACAAUAGGACAACUAGGGUCUUUAUACUUUGGUAUGAUCUUUUGCUCAAUCACAGCACUCACAUGUUCAGUUAAGAAAGCAAUUUUCUUGACAUGGUAUUUCCUCUUCACAAUGCAUAAGUCUUUAAUGACUUUAACAUACGUAGGAACUUGAGAAAUCACGUGCAAGAGAGGCAAAUUGAUUUUUACUUGUUUAAGAUGCUCUAGGAUUUCAUUGUGUUGAGUGGUUGACUUCGAGGUAGAUUUGAGGGCUUGAGGAAAAUGUACCCUAACUGGAGCUUCUACUACUUCUUCACUGGGGUUACUCUCAUUAGGCUCACUUGAUUCUUUUUCAUUCUUCCUAGAUUGAAGGGAUAGUUCAAUGACUUUCCAAGAUCUAGUGUUUAUGGCAUUUAUUUUCUCAAAGUUGGUCUCUCCCGAUCCCAAAAUUUGUGUCAUGUGUUGCCCUUUUGAAUUUGGUUGAGCUUGAGCUGGAAAUUUCCCACGUUUCCCUACAACUAAGGUAUUGGUUAGUUUGGACACAUGAUUCUUUAUCUCUUUAUUUUCCUCAACUAACUAGCCAAUCAUAGUCUCAAAUUUUUUAUUUGUUUUACCCUGUGCCUCAAUAAAUGCAUGUACAGUAUUUUCUAAGUAAUUCCUAGAAGAUGUAAGUUGACAUGGGAGUGCAUUGUAAGCUCUAUUGGAUUGGGCAGGUUGUUGGUUUUCAGACUUCCAGCUAAAGUUGGGGUGAUUCCGCUAUCUUGGGUUGUAAGUCUUGGAGUAAAGAGUAUAGGGCUUUUGAUAUACACCUAAAGCAUUACAGUGUUUCUCAUAAAGUCCCCUCAUCUCAGUAUAAGUGGCACAUUCCUGUGCUGGGUGAUCAUUCCCUCCAUACACAAAACAAGGCUCUAAAGACUCAACAUGGGAAACAAAUCGAGUGGUUUUUGAAUGCUUAACACGCAGGUUUUCAAGUUCUUUAGUGAGGGUUUCUACCUUUGCUCUAAGAUUAUCUUUCUCCCUAAGAUAAUAAAUACCUAUACUAUUUGGGUUUCCAGUGGGUUGUGACCUAUUAGUACUCUUAGUGGUACUAGGUCCAGUCCAGGUAUGAGCUUUCUCAGUUAAGUCAUCUAAGUAGUCUAUAGCCUCAUAUGGGUCUUUUUGCAAAAAUUUACCAUCACUCAUCAUUUCAACAAAUUGACGCUCCCUAGGUAAUAAUUCCUCAUAAAAAUAACUCACAAUGCGCCAACUUUCAUAACCGUGGUGAGGGCAGAGAGCUUGCAAUUCUUUGUACCUUUCCCACGCUUGAUAUAAAGUUUCACUCUCCUUUUGAGUAAAAAAAGAUAUUUGGUUUUUCAAUGCAGGUGUUUGUGGUGGGAAAAGUACUUGCCAAAGAAUGCUUAGGUCAUUUCAGCCCAAGUCCCAAUCGAACGUGGUCGCAAUGAAAACAACCAGCUCUUUGCUCUUUCUUUAAGAGAAAAUGGAAAAAAUUUAAGUCUGACCGCAUCCAUUGUACCAUGUUGAUUGUGAAAAGUUGUAACAACCUCUUCAAAUUCCCUGAUAUGUACAUAUGGGUUUUCAUUUUCAAGAUCGUGAAAAGUUGGAAGAAGUUGGAUCAUUCCUGGUUUAAGGUCCAUAUGUGGCACAUUAGGUCGAAAUAUAAUGUAUGAUGGUGUAGAUGUGCGUGUGGGGUAAAGAUAAUCAUGCAAAGUCCUAGUUGGUGCAUCUUCGUGUUCACUAUCAGUCAUUGUGUUAUGUGAUGUGAUGUGAUGUGAUGUGAUGUGUGUGCCAAUAGAUUCAGUAUCAAAGAGACGGUUAGGAAGAGGUUCAAACACUGGUUAUGGCCUUGCAAUGAAUCGUCCUCGCUUGUCUCGAUCUCUGUUCAUAAAACACCAAAAAAUAUGAAAUUUUGUGAGAAAUAACAGAAUAAAAACUAGUAAAAUUAAACUAACUAAAAAAAUGUAAAAGAUGAACGAAAUCACCAUUUUGCUUAAAAAUCCUUCGAUUAUUUGCACCGUCUCUCUGGCAACCGCGCCAAAAUUUGAUUAUGCCCAAAGAAUAACGCGAUAGUUGUAGCACAGUUUUGGGGUGUCGAUUCCACAAGGAGAUUGAUGAAUUGUUUAAAGGAUUUAUCGAACUAGGAUUUCGUGAAUUAUGUGAAAAUAAUUUGUCAAUUGGAAUGAGAUUUAAUUAUCAAUAUGCGAGAUUAGUGAAGCGUCCGAAUUCCUUCAAUUGGAUUGGAUCAUCAACAUUAAUAAUUCAUAACUUUUUGCUCAAUUAGAUAUUUUCAUCCCAACUCUCUAAUUGGAAGAUUUAACAAUGAAGAUCAAUCAAAUUUCAAUUGUAAUCCUAGGAUCUAAACUUUUGUAAACCAUUCACACACAUGUUUAUUGGACAAGAUUAAGAAUCGACUAUAUACAUAAUGCAUAAGGUAGUAAAUAAUCCACCAAUAAAGUUGAUUGAAAUUAAAAUUUAACAAUUAGUUCAAUUCCACAAUUAAAAAAGAACAUGAUUAAAUAUAAAGAAUCUAAUAAAAGUUAAAUAAAUUCCAAGGUAAAUUCAUAAAAGAAAGUCUAGAUCUAGAAGUGUUAGACAAUAAAAAUACUGAUUUGCAUGAAUAAAUGAUGUGAAGUCGUCAAAUCUAAUGAAUUCCUACGUAGUUUCACCUAAGAAUUUAGUUCUCCAUUGAAUUCUUUAACCCAAGAUGAGGGAAAAUUGUUAUGGAGGUGAAGAGACGUGUUCUGUCCAGUCUAGGGGUUAAAAUCGUGUGCCAAGUUGUUUCCAAAAGAGGUUGAACCGAAUAAGGAAACUAAAUUUUUGGCUAGAAUAUUUUGUGCAACUACUUUUAGUAUUUUGAUCAUAACUUUUUGUUCUCAUAUCCAAUUUAAGAAGUACAAGGUGUGUUGGAAAGCUAAUACAAAGGGCUACAAUUCUUCUAGAAAUAGCGCUUUCCAAAUUUGGAUGUUUACUGGGUCAAAUAUUGAUUUCAAUCUCUAGCUGAAAAUCUGGAAAAUUCUUAUAUGGUUGUAAUUUGAUGUGUGAAAAUAUUAUGGUCAUAUAUUUAACUUCUUUUGACUUAUAAUUACACCCAAUGGACUUCUAGCUUUCUCGAAUCAUCAUUCCAUUGCCAGUCUCAUCUUUAGAUUGUUUAUACCUUGGUCCCUGAACCUUCAUUUUCUUCCAUUUUGGUCCUUUCUCGCUUUUUUCUUCUAAAUUUCACAUUUUCUACCAAAAUGAACCUAAAUCAAAGCAUAAGUAUAAUUAGUGUAUUUUGGUAUCAAAUAAUCACACGAAUACAAUAAUUAAGAUAAGAAAAUAUUAUAUUUUACACUUAUAAAUAUUAAUUGAUAACCUUAAAAUAGCUAAUCAAGAGGGGGAUGAAUUUGUUAUUAAAAAACUUUUUAAAAAAUAAGUCUAAAAUUAAACAAAUCCAACAGCAAAUAAGUAAAUCAAUCAAAUAUGCAUAAAAACGAAAGCAAUAUGUAAAAGAAAAGAGAGUAUGCAAAUGAUGUAAUCUUGGCCGUUCUAUUCUAUCCAAUGAUCUACAUCCUUCGUGGUAGUUCUCCGUCACAAGCAAGACCCUUUUUAUGAAGAAAGAUGUUACGAUCCUAUAACCAAUCAUUUUUACACGUCAAUUGAUGAAGCAUCUUUAUGGUGGACAUCUCAAAGGGUGGAAUUGCUAGAUUCAAAGAAAAUUGAUGACAAAUUACAAUAGGAGAUCACAGAAGUACAAAAAACCCAAAGGAAACAAAAAAUGCAUAAGAAUAAAGUGCCAAGAAGGAGUAUACUACUGCAAUUCAAAAUUCUUGGCAGAUGGGUGUAUAUCAGACAAUGCUAGAAGAGAUAAGGUCGAGUCACUAAGAGGAGGCCAAGGAAGAAUUAAGGCCCCAACCAUAAUUGAGAAAAUUAACUAGACAGAGAAAACCAAAUCCCCAAGUAUGCUAACGUAACAAUAGAAGAAGAUAGCAAUAUCAAAGAUCUGGAACCUUUGAACAAGCGAUCCAACAUAAGAAAUGAAAAAAGCAAUGAAAUAAGAGUUCAUGGCUCAAGGUAAAAUAAGACUUGGGAUUUAAUGCUAAGGCCUCAUGGAGUAAGGCCUAUAUCCUGCAAGUGGGUAUACAAAGUACAAAAACAUCUUGACGGAUCAAUAGAAAGAUAUAAGACCCGACUAGUAGCUUGUGGAUUAUCAAAACAAUAUGGAUUAGACUAUGAUGAAACAUUUAGUCCAGUGGCAAAGAUUACUACAAUACGAGUUCUUAUAGCUUUUGUAACGAGCAAGUCUGCAAGCUAUGGCAGAUGAAUGUUAAAAAUAUGUUUCUCCAUGAGGACUUGAUUGAGGCAUUUACAUAGAGUAACCAAAGGGACUCGAGAACAAAGAAAAGCCGGGGUAUGUUUGCAAGUUAACAAAGGCUCUCUAUAGGUUAAAGCAGCUACCACAAUCGUGUAUAGUUAGAUAGCUGAAUUUUUAGGUCAAAGUGGUUACUUGGUAACACUUGUAGACUUGAGCCUAUUUGUUAAAGCAUGAAAUAGAAAAUUAACAAUAAUGCUAUUGUAUAUGAAUGAUCUUAUCAUCACCUGAGACGAAGAAGACGAAAUUCAACGAACUAGAAAUAAUCUAUCAGUGAGAUUCCAAAUGGAAGAGUCUAAAGGGCUAAAUCAUUUUUUGAGACUCAAGAUGGAAGAACAAAAGAAGGAUUACUCUUGUGCCAGGAUAAUUAUACCUGAGAUCUCUUACAAAAGUUUGGGAUGAUCGAUUACAAACCAAUAUCGAUACCAAUCAAAAUUAACUUCUAGCUAUAUGCAAACAAAGGCAUGGACUUGGAGAAUGCACCAUAAACCGGAAUCUAGUAGGAAGCUUGAUCAAAUUAACGCUAACACGAACCAACAUCGCAUACACAGUUGGAAUAGCAAGAUGCAUCAUGGAAAUGUUGAAGAAGCCGUACCUUGAAUUAGUGCGACGAUCUUAAGGAUAAUUUUCUUUUAUCUUCUUCAUUAUCUCCUAUCUAGGUUUAUGAAUAGUUUGAUUGGGUUUAACAUCAACUUUAAUAGUCUUAGUGGGCACAUAGGGACAAUGUUCAAUAACUUCCCAAAUAUUGUAAUCUAUUGUUUGAAUGUAAAUCAUCAUCCUGGCUUUCUAAUAAUUGUUAUGUGUGCCAUCAAAGAAGGAAUGAUGAUUUGUAAAAUGCUCUUCAAGAUUUUGAAUAUUUGGAUUAUCUAUUACACAAUAUUGUGAACUCUUUUAAAAUGAGCACCUUUCUCUAAUACCAAUUGAUAAACCAAGAAUAACUAAUCAAGAGGGCUGUGAAUUAGUUAUUCAAAUUUUUUUGAAAAAUAAGUAUGUAUAUAUAUAUAUAUAUAUAUAUAUAUAUAUAUGGAAGAUGUAUAUUAAUCUCAUAGUACUAAAAAUAAUCCCCCAAUACACUAUAUAGUUAAGCUCCUCUGUGGUAGGAUUUUUUAGAACAGAUUUUGUGAAAAGUAAUUUUUUUAGAGAAUGUGUGGUUAAAUAUUAGAAAAAAAAUUAUGAAUCAAUGUGAAAGAUUAUUUUAUUAGAAGAAUGUGUGAUUCGUAAUGAUUUUGAAGAAAAAUGAAUUUUAGAAAUAGAGCCAAAUGGGGGCUAAGCAUCACAUCAACACAAUAUUUCGUCCUUAUUUGGUAUUAAUUAAAAUGUUAUAUAUAUAUAUAUAUAUAUAUAAGUCAAUCAAUCAAAAUGUACAAAUACGAAAGCAAUAAGUAAAGGGGAAGAGAGUUUGCAAACGACGUAAUUGUGAAGCUUCGAUCCUAACUUAAUGAUCUAUGUUCUUCGUACCAAGCACUUCAUCAAGAGAAAGGUCUUUUUUACUAUAUUGAUUGAUUUAUAGUGCGAUCCAACCUUUUACAAUGCUUCCAAUAAGUUACAAUCAAUGAGAAUUGAUCCUUUUACAAUAUAGAGCUUUACGGGACCUCUAAAUGACCACAAAUUCAAAGAGUAAUUGUGUUUACAAUUUGAACUUCUCUCUUAGUAAAUGAUAUAAUCAAAAUUAAGUACUAAGAGAGAAAUGGGCUAACACUUUAAUGAAUAGUAAUGGAUGAAGCUCAAGAAUCAGGUAAAAAAAACUUUGAUAAGAAGAAUGAUUUUUAAAAGUUAAUUCAAUCAAAAGUUUUUUUUAAAAUAAUUGAUUUGAUUUGAUGAAGAUAAACAAAGAGUGUAAUAAAUUUGCUCAAGACUAUCUCACUUUAAUGCUCAUAAAAGUGUUACAAUGAAAAGUGAGGUGGUAAUUAUAGCAGUUAAAACGUUAAAAGUUUUGUCCAACUGGAUGGCUCAAUCAAACUUUCACUUCUGAACCAAGCACUGAACUUGUUUUUGUGCGUCAAAAUUUUAGAACGGUUAAACAACUUGACCAUUGGAUGAACCGGAUGUUCACUAGGUCAACCAAACCUCCGCUUGGACAAAUUUCCCAGAUUUUUCCUUCUUUGAUUAUUUUGAAAAUAUACAUCUUUGAAGGACAUUUUCAUUUAAUUUUUAAAGUAAGUGACACUUCUAAGAAGUUUGAAGAAUAAUUCAAUGCAAGCAUUUUUAAGAAAUAACUUUUUUGUGCACAAAAAUUCAUCUUGAGUUUUUGAUAAUUCAUUGCUAACGAUUAAAGUAUUUUACCUUUACAUAUGAAUCCAAAAAGAUAUAAUUCUAAUGUCUUUGGCUGUUGAAGUGCUUGUGAAUGAUUGAUUUUUGCGUCCAUGCUCGACUUCCAUCUUGAUCUUCAUUGGGAAUCAAUUUGUGAAGCUUUUGAUAGUGAUCGUUUUGUCUUCAAUUGAUCAACUUUGCCACAAUAGCUAUAACAACUCGAAUUCAGAUGUUAGAAAUUAAAGCAAACUGUUUGUUAUAAUCAAAUGUAGAAUCAACCAUAGGUCAACAAUUUCCCCAUUUUUUAUUAUGAAAAACAAAAGAUGAUUUGCAAAAAGUUUAUAGAUGAAGGAACAUGUUAGAUAUCAGUAUACCUCAUAUAUUCCCCUUAUCUCAUUUAUCAUUUCUCCCUUUUAGAAUAAGCAAAAAGAAUAACAAUGGAAGGAUUCAAGUGCACAAGUAUAGAUAAAGAAAAUCAAUAAUAGGCACUUGUUAAAUGAACGAUAUUGCAUUGAAGACAUAGAACUAAAUAUCAUGAUUGUAUCUAAGACAUGAAAGCACAAUAUAUAAAAAUAUAAAAACACAUAGAACAAAAGAAUGAAAACUAUGGCUCCUGAGGUGGCAGCGGAGGAAAGUGAGUAUAGAAGACAUUUAGUUGAGCUUGCAUCGUUGCUUGAUGCACUUGAAUGGCAUCCUGCUGUGCUUGUAUUAUGGCUUGUUGAGCUAGUACCUAGUAAAGCAUGUGAGAAAAUCAAUGCGUCCGUUUUGAAGAUUGUAGUGGUCUUCGGUAAAUGUGAAGCCACCGGUUAGAACGAGGAGCACUAGAGCCCAGUAUAUCGUGACGAGGACUCGAAACAUGUGGUACAUUAUCCCUUGGCUCUUCUUCAUCACUCUCAAAAGGUAGAGUCGAUGGACCCGGAGUGAGGUCAAACCCAUUUGUAUGUACAACCCAUUAAUCAUAUUCUUUUACAAUUUUAAUUCAUUUGAGGGUAUGAAUGUUUAUGUUGGUCGGGAAAAGUUCAACAAAGUUUCACCAUUUAAUGGAAUAUUAAAAUAAUUGAAUUUUUUUGUGGGAAUAUCACGAAUAAGAGUUUUGUUGAUGGUGAUACGUGCAUUUUCAAGUAGAUAUGUUAUGUCAUCCGAGCGAGGAAUAAUGAUAAUGAUUUUAUAAAAUCUUUCAUGAGUUUGGAUAUGCAUGUUCUUCUAAUGUUGCAAUAGACAUGCAACCCAUAUUUUCAAACAAUUCUUCUAUAUGAAAUGUGGGUGCCUUUAUUGUGAAAUUGGCAAAAUCAACAUUUAAAUCUCUUAAAAUGGGUGAUUUCUCUAUGGGUUCGCAACACCUAGGGCUCCAAAUCCAUUUCUUCGUCAGAAGAAGGUGGUGGAGAUUGCCUAACGUUGUCUUGAAUUGUUUUCCAGCUCGUUCAGAUCUCGUUGUGGCAACCAAUUGAUGAAAUAUGGGUAAAGAUCGGGCUUGAUUUUGAGAAGGAGAUGAAAUGUUGAGUAAAUUUUGAAAUUUUUGAGAGAGAAAAGACGUAGAUGUGAUGGGUCUGUGAAUUUUGUGAGUAUUUGAUUUUUAGAUGUAUUAAAAUGAAGAAUUUGGAGGUAAUAUAGGAAAAAGAUAGAGAGAGGGAAAAAUGAGGAAAAAUGGAUGUUGCUAAGCGAUUUAAAAGCUGAAAUCGCAUUGAACUGCAUGUCCGAUUCGUUUAUCUAGACAUCCAUAUUGAUAGAGUGCGAUUUAGGCCAAAUUUUCUAUCUAACGGGAUAAGGUGUCUGGACAGUCCGUUUAACUUGUCCGAAUGACCCCUAUUUUAAUGCAAAAGAAAUGGAAACAAAUUCAUAAUAUGCAAUCAACUUAGUUAUGAACUUCAAAUUCGUUAAUAAUUUCUAAACAACUUCUAAUAUGUGAGAAUCAAUCAAGUCCAAGAGGUAUUGUGAAGAAUCACACAUGACACGUAUAUGAUCAAAAGAUAAGUAAUAAUCACUGAAGCUUUUAUCCAUAGCACUUGUGCACAACAACUAGCGAUGAGAUAUAUUUGGCUUCGACAGUAGAUAAUGCAACAAAAUUUUGUUUUUUAUUAAACCAUGACACUAGUACAAAGCCUAGAAAGUAACAAAUGUCACUACUGCUUUUACAAUCAAUUAUUUAUUGGCCCAAUCGGCAUCCAAGUUGCUUAGUAGGUUAACAUGAGUGUCUUUUGGAUACCAAAGCUUUAAGGUUUUAGUGCCAUUAAGAUAUCUAAAAAUUCUCUUCACAGCACUACGAUGUGAUUCUUUAGGAUUUGAUUGAGAUCUAGUGCAUAAGCACACAUUGAACAUAAUAUCGGGUCUACUUGCAAUUAAAUGAAGAAGGGAUCUGAUCAUACCUUGAUAUUUUGUUACAUCGACAGAAAUGUCAUGAUCAUCUUUGUCCAAUUUUAUGAUGAACUCAUUGGAGUGUUCAUCAGCUUGAAGAUUUCCAUUUCGAAUUUUUUGAGCAUAUCCGAUAUAUAUAUUUUUUUGCUAGUAAAUAUCCAAUUAUUAGUUUGUAUAAUUUGUAGUCCAAGAAAGAAUUCUAAUUCUCCCAUCAUGCUCAUUUCAAAUUCUUUACUCAUACAUUUGGAAAAUUCUUCACAAAGAGAGAUAUUAGUUGCACCAAAAAUAAUAUCAUAAAUAUAAAUUUGAAUAACAAUCAUAUCACUCUUUUCGAUUUUGACAAAGAGGGUAAUAUCCGCUUUUCCUAAAAAAAAUGAACCUUCUGAGAGUAGAAAUUUUUUUAAUCUUUCAUACCAAGCUCUAGGGAUGUCAAAUUGGCUCGGUGGCUCGACUCGGGAAAAGCCUGAGUUGGCCCAGCUUGUGGCUCUGAUGAAGCGAGCUUAGGCUCGGGGCAAGCCCUAUUUUGGGGCAUUGGCCCAAGCUUGAGGCGGCCGUUGUGGCUUGGCGAGCACACGGGCCGACUUGUGUUACGGGGCAAAAAAGGCUCAUGACAAAGCCUGAUUUGCCCGAAAUUAAAAAAAUAAAAAAUAAACAAAAUAGUCAACAUAGCUGCCUUAAGAAACCUAUACUUUUCUACCUUUUUUUACAAUUCAAUUGACGAGAUAGUCUCGUAAAUUGAAAUUUUCAAAUUCAAAUUUGGAGAAAGAUAGAUUUUUUUGAUUAUAAAUAUAGGAUAAAUUUUAAGUUUCAGAUCAAUUAAAUUGCAAUAUUAUAUAUUCAAGUUUCAACUUCAAUUUCUUUGCUCUCAAUCUCAUAUUUAAUUUCUUUCAUUCUAAUGUUCAAUAUUUUAUACUAUACUAGUUAUAAAUGGAUUUUAUUAAUGAUGAGCUUAAUCAGUUUAAGAGUAGCUUGAGUACUCCAUCCGAUUACAAUGCAUCCCAAAAUGUUCCAAUUGAUUUGAAGAAUAUUGAAGAUGAAGAAGUAUUUGAGAUUAAAGGGUCGAAAAAAGAAUAAUAGGAUUGUUGGCAAUAUAUGACAUGUAAAAAAAUUGGUGCUAGAAAAUGGAAUGGAUAUAUGGAAAGCAUGUUACAAUUAUUGUGGCAAAUAACUUAGUUGGAUGCCCGACUUUCGAGUGCAAUGCAUUUGAACAGACACAUAUUAAGGAGUUGCAAAGCGAAACCAGUCGAUCUUGACCCAAAACAGACUGAACUAGAGUUUAGCGGUUCUUGUUAUACUAUUUCCACCUUUGUAUAUUCACAGAAAAGAUUUCGUGAAGAAAUGGCUACAUAUGUGGCGGCAACAGAUAUGCCGCUUAUGAUGAUGGAUUCAGUACACUUUACCCGGCUCGUACAGAAAUAUCUCCAACCCAGGUAUUCUUCUUAUUGUAAAAAUACUCUUCAUUCGGAAACUAUAAAUUAUCUAAAAAAAGAAAACAAGUUGCUAUUGAAGGUUUAAAAACUUUUAAUAGUGUUAUAUCAUUUACAUUUUAUUUAUGGACCGGUGGAAAUAGAAAAUGUUAUAUUGUUGCUAUAGCUCAUUAUAUUGAUCACAUGUGACUUUUACAUAAAAGGAUUAUUGCAUUUAGAUGUGUAGAAUAUUCUCAUAAUGUCACUAACAUAUACAUGGUUUUAAAAUAUAUCAUACUGGAAUAUGGUAUACAAGAUAUGGUUCGAAGUUUUACUUUUUAUAACGCUAGUGUGAACAAAGGUGUUAUUGAAAGAUUUAUUAAUGAUCUUAACCCUAUAUUUGGAACUUACUUUUUCAUCAACGUUGUGUAUGCCAUAGUAUCAAUUUGACUGUAAAAGCUAGAUUAGAACAUAUAAGUUGUCCCCUACAGUCUCGACUCGAUUUCUUCUAGUCGUUGUUGCCAUCACGAUCUCCACGACCACCACCUGCUACCAUUCAUGGUGUUGCUCGAUAAUGAUCUUUCAAUGGCUAUCUUCAAGCGACAGUAAGAUUAGAGUGAAGCCACAGAGUUCGUGAGAGAAUGAAAUACCUAAUUUAGGGUUUAGUAGUUAUAGAGAGAGAAAAUGAAAGGGAUAAUGAAGAUAAAUUUAGGUUUAUAAUAUAAUUAUUAAUAUUUAAAUAUAUCAAUUAAUUAAUUAAUAAAAUAUCUGAUUUUUGAAAUAGUAAACUUCACCUGUGAUUUAUGAAAUGGGAUCCCUAAAUCUAUUAGUUUGUGUAAUUUCCAUUAACAUUAAUUAUAUCGACCUAAGAUUGUAAUUGGUAGCCCAAAGAAUAGAUGGACCAAGAAUCUCACUAUUGGAAAUUAGGGACAAUUAGAGGCUCGACUGACUUAUUAUAUGGCCCAAUUGUCACUUACCAUACUUAAGACUAUAAACGGGUUUUCACCUUUGAGAGAAUAAUAGGGAACUUACAAAAAAUACCCUUAAAAUUAGGAGUCUUUUACUUUGUAAAAUUAAAAAGUGAUAAUAUCACUUUAAAAAAAAUGUGUAAAAAAGUGGCACAAUGUCACUUUUAAAAAUUUAGUAUCACUUUUUUAUUAAAAAAUUACAUAUAACGUCACUUUUAUUAAAAAGUGAUAUUUGUCACUAAAAGAAUUGAUAGAAAUUUCAAGAAGACGACUAAGAAAAGUCACAAAAAUUCAAAAAAAAAGUGACAAUUACUAAAACAAGUGACAAAAAUUUUAAAAAAAAAAAGUGACAAAAAUUUAAAAAAAAAAGUGAUGAAUUUAAGAAAGUUACAUAAAUUGGAAAAAGUUACAUAGAUUCAAAAAGAGUGACUAAAAAUAAAAUAAAAAUGACAAACACACAAAAAGUGGCAAAAUUCAAAAAAAGUGACACAAAAUCAAAAAAUGUGACAAACACUCAAAAGUGACGAAAUUUAAAAACAAAAAAGAAAGAGAGAAAACCUUGUAGAAUAAUUAGUACUUAUUUUACUCUGUUAAAAUUUUUGGUAGAAAUAAAAGUGAUGUUUGUAAAAAAAAAAAAUGGUGGUAGAAAUCAAUAAGGUGACUGAAAAAAGGGACACAUUGAAAGAAAAGUGACAAAAUUUCAAAAAAAGUGAUAAAAAUUUUAAAAAUUGAGAAAAAAUUUUAAAAAGUGGGAAAUUCAAAAAAGUGACACAAAUUUUUUAGAAAAAAAAGUUACACAGAUUAAAUAAAGUGAUAAAAAAAAGUGACACUCAAAAAGUAACAAAAUUAAAAAUAAAAAAAAAAGUGACAAAUUCAAAAAACUAACCCAAAAAAGGGUGGCUGAUAAUAAAAAAAAAAAAAAAAAAGUGACAUUUUACCACUUCUUUUUUUAAUGACAAACGUCACUUUUUAAUAAAAGUGAUAUUGUAUGUUGUUUUUUAAUAAGAAAGUGACACUUUUAAAAUUAACAUUGUGUCACCUUUUUUUUUAAUUAAAAAGUGACAAUUUUAAUUUUUUUUUUUUUUAAAAAAAGGGUGGCCCAAAAAAUGCCACUUUCACUCGCCCCUUUUGUUCAUGAGUUCAAUCCCAAAAUUGAUUCGUUUAAUUGAUGAAUUGAUGCAAUUGAAGGAGGAUCCGCCGUCAUACAACAUUAAUUGAAGGUUGGAUCCUAGAAUUGCUGGGUUGAAGUGUUGUGGAGUUCUCAAAUGAAAGGGGAUCAACGAACCUAGCUUGUGCGUGUACUACUUGGCUUGAUUCGACCUUAUUGGUUCGAAAUUGGUGUGACCCAUGGGUUCAUUGGACAUGAUAAGGCUGUGCUAGGUGUGAUAGUCCGCGAUCGUAGGUUGCGUCAUCUGUGCCAAAAAUCAUGAUUGAAGGGUUCGAGUUUGCUGUUGCAAAGAAGGCUAGAGAAUUGGAUUUUUUUGCAUUGUCUGCUAUUAUAUUCACAUCUGUUGGUGCGUAAUGAUGAGCAUGGUCAAGUUGGAGAGUGGGCGGGUGAUGGUUGUCGCCGGAAGUGGCAUUUUCAGCCUUUUUGGUUGCGUGGGCAACCUACUUUGACUGGAAAUUCCGACUAGUUUCUAAUAGAUUUUGCUGACUUUCAAAAAGUUUUAUGUUUUCAAAUCACUAAAAACGUAAUUAGUACGGUUUUUAAAACUUUAAUUUGAUUUAAAUGUAUAAAUCAAUUACUGUCCANNNNNNNNNNNNNNNNNNNNNNNNNNNNNNNNNNNNNNNNNNNNNNNNNNNNNNNNNNNNNNNNNNNNNNNNNNNNNNNNNNNNNNNNNGGGUAUUGUGUCUAAUUUCCUGAGAAUAAUUAUAGACAUAGCUUUUGUUUGAGUUUCAUUCUUUUGAAAAAAAUAUCUUUUUUAACAAUAUUUUGACAUCAUUUCAAUCAUACAUUUUUCAAUUAAAUAAUGUUACAUGCAAAUUCAAAAUUUUUCCUUAUUUAUUAAUCACAUAUUUUUUAUCAAUACACUAUUCAAAAAUUUGUUUUUCCCGCCUCAAAUUCACUAUCUCCAUCUCAACUUUGAGAGAGAGCAACUGCCUUGGUCUUCUCCUUCGACCUCUACCUUCUUCUUCGUGACCCAUCUCUCCUCCCUUUAGCAACCUCCAAUACCUUCUUGUGGUGUGAUUCUCUCACUGGAUUCUGCUCCUUUCACGGCUCCUCUUUGCCCGCUUCUCGAUGCAUUUCUUUGGACGAUUCCUCUGUGGUUUGAUUGAGAUUUCGGGGUUCAAUCGAGUGUGGUGUUGCCUUGUGAUCUUGGGCUGUUAAAAUCUAAGCCCUAUAAUUCCACAUAUUGCUGCAAUCGUGAUUUUGAUUGGGGAGUUCCAUUCUUGCUCAUUUUAAAUUGAUUUAAUUAUUAUUAUUCAAUUAAUUUGGAGCUUACUUUAUGUUUGUUGUUUCAAUUGAAGGUUGUUUUAUUCCCCAUAAACUGGAAUCAAAGCUUGGCUGAUCCGGUGACUGCGAAAUCGAGCCUCAACUGGUUCCUGCAUGUUUCGCAAUUGAAUAUGUAAAGUCUGCUAUGACUUGGACGUAUGUACCUGUAAUCUGACAUUCCUGAUUUUGCAAUAAGCACCAGAAUCCUUAAAUUAUUUUCGCAUUUCUCAUUUGUAGGAACCACAGAUAGGCUCGCUGAAGUAAACUGGCUGAUCGUUUUUUAAAUUUCUUCAAUAGCAAUCUAUCAUUUGGGGUAGCUAUUAUGAUAGGGGUUAUUGUCUGAGGUAACCAUUCCCUAUUACUAGAAAUUAGGAUUACUGGCCAAUAAUCUAGAUAUUGUCAUUAUUUGGAUAUUUUUGUUGUUGCGAAAUUCCAUGUGUUGCUAAGUUGAUUAUUGGCCAGAAUUGUUACCGAGACCUUAUGGCUGGAAAAUUCCAUUGACCUAAGGUCACUAAUCUAACAAAACGCUAGGAAUUUAGACCGGAGCAUAAAUGCGACCUUUAUGACAUAUUUUGUAUGUUUAUCACUUUGAAAGUUGCUACAUGCUACGUGUCUUAUUUGUUAAUAUAUCUAUAUAUAUANNNNNNNNNNNNNNNNNNNNNNNNNNNNNNNNNNNNNNNNNNNNNUAUAUAUAUAUAUAUAUAUAUAUAUAUAUAUAUAUAUAUCAUUUUGACUUUGUGUCUUUAAAGGUAAAGGUAAUUUUUCUAUCUGACAACAAAAGAUGAAAGGGAUUUUAGUACAACAAAAAGUGUCAAGAGCUAUUAAUAGAUUGUUUUCUGCAACUGUAACCGAUGAUCGGAAAAAGAAUACGAUGAACUUUUGUAUACAUCUAUUAUCUUACAUUUAUCUGAUUCAAUUAAAAAACAUUAGAAAAAGUUGAAACAACUUUACUUGACAUAGUCUUCACGAUAUUGUGGCGACGUGGGGGAGAAAAAAAGGAAACUAUUCUUACUUCAAAAGUUUCUUCAGUUUCAAAAUUGAUCUUUGAAAAUAAUUGGAUGACAAUCUUGAUGUUUUCAAUAAAUUUGUACAAGAUAUUACAAAUUAUGUUGAUAAGAUUUUCGAUGAGUUAAGCUAUUGUCCUAUUGAAUGUUAUUUGUAAUGUGUAUAAAGAAGUCAAGAGUAGAGUCAAAUAUGGGUGGGAGACCUUUGCACCUGAUGUAGUCAUUGAUUUCCUUAAGAGUACAGAGAGGGAGAUGAAAGAUGAAAGAAAAUAGGAGAGAUUCACCAAAUUAGGGGUAGAUCUUAUUAUAGUGGUGGUAAAUGGAAAAAUGGUGGUGGCAAGAAGAAAGGGUAGAUCUAAAUCACAGAAGGAAAAUGGGAGGAAAUGUUAUGUUUUGGUAAACUAGGAUAUUUCAUAAGUGCCAUUAAGAAAAACUAAGUUGAGAGAUCAAAUGGAAGUGAACCCCAUAAGGCUAAUGUUAAUGUCCCUAGAGAUGAACCUAUUGAGGUUUACUUGCUUUUAAAUUCUUAACCAGUCAAAAUUAACUAUUAGAUGCUUUGAAAACUAUAAUCACUUAAAUUCAAUUGUAAGUAAACUAGAUUACUUGUUUGUUAUUAUGAAAACUUUAAGAUCAACACAUGUCAAGACAUUGUAGGAUAUCAUUUGCAUCUAGCACACACAAGAUAUCUAGAGUAUUAGAAUAUAUUCAUACUGAUUUGUGGAAUCCCAAGAGCAAUCAUACUUUUGGUGGUAAGAAAUAUUUUGUAUCUAUUAUUGAUUAUUUCUUCAAAUGUGUGUGUGAAUUUGUUGAAAGAUAUAUUUGAAACUUUUUGGAAUUUUAAAAAUUGGAAAGUUAAGGUAGAAAACCAGAUAGGUAAAAAAGCAUAAUAUUUGCAUAUUGAUAAUGGUCUCGAGUUUUAUAAUGCUAACUUUGAUAGUUUGUGUAAUGAAUCUGGCAUAACUAGACAUAGGAUUGUACCUUACACUUCUCAGCAAAAUGGGUUGCUAAAAGGAUGAAUCUUACCUUACUUAAUAAAGUUAGAUAUAUGAUGUGUGAGUUCUAGUAUAUCUAAAUCUUUUUGGGCUGAAAUUGUUAUGAUUGCAUACUGUCUAACUAAUCCGCCUCCUUCUACCGUUUUAAAUGGUGAUAGGCCGUAUGAGAAUAUGUAUGGUAAAUGUGCUAAUUAUUCUUUGCUAAGAACCUUUGGUUGUGCUAUUUUCUCUAAUUAGAGUGGUGGAAAACUAGAACCUAGAGCAACGAAACGUGUCUUCUUAACGUACAUUGAGGGAUUUAAGAGAUAUAUAUUGUGAGAUAGAAGCCAGAAGAGUGUGAAAAUAAUCAUAAGUCGUGAUGUCACCUUUAAUGAGUCUGAAAUGCCUUGCAUGGAGAGUGAAGAACAACAAGAAACUGUUUAGGAAAGACUCCCCAGUUGACAUAGAAGUAGAAGGUGAUGAGGAUAUUAUAGAGGACAAACUAUUGACCAAGACCAUUUAGCUAAUUGCCAAUUGGAUAGAGAUACAAAGAUGAGACCACAUAGGGAACCCCAAAGGUUGUCCGAUUAUACCAUAGCUUACACUAGUUAUCAAGAACUAGUUGAUAAGGACUCGAAUAUGUAUGAGAAGGCUAUGGGAAGUGAAAAAUGUAAGGGAUGGUAGACUUCCAUAAGAGAAGAGAUGAGUUAUCUUUCUAAGAAUCAUACUUGGGGUUUAGUUCCUAGAUCUAAGGAUAAAUCCAUAGUUGGAUGUGUAGGUAGAUAUUAGAGAAUCAAAUCAAACUGAAGGCUUGUGUAUUCACAGUUUCCUUAAAUCGAAUUCGCCGCCUCACCAGAGUGCAAGAGGUUUUGAUCGGUGUUCGAUUCCCAGGAUACAAUUGGUUUCCGGUUCACGCUGCAAUACGUUAACCACCUGCGAACUAGCUAUAAAUAUUAGAGAAUCAAAUCAAACUGAAGGCCUGUGUAUUCACAGUUUCCUUAAAUCGAAUUCGCUGCCUCACUAGAGUGCAAGAGGUUUUGAUCGGUGUUCGAUUCCCAGGAUACAAUCGGUUGUCGGUUCACGCUGCACUACGUUAACCACCUGCGAACUAGCUGUGAUAUACUCUAUCUCACAAAGAAAUUAUAAGCACAAGGAAGAACUUGAAAGUGAGAAAAAGAAGAUUGUUGUUUAGAGGAAGAAGCUUGCAUUUCACUUGUGUUUUUCCAACCUAGAGAGACUCCUAUUUAUACCAAUGGAGGAAAAGCUAGCUCAUUAAUCAAGGAGUUAAGCCAUUCAUUGAUAAAGGAGUUAAAAACAUGAAGGGACUUGAGUUACAACAUAUGAAGAGACUUCUAUUCAAUAUUUUUCAUUACUUCUAUUCAAUAUUUUUCAUUCAAUUCUAACAAUCCCCCACAUGAAUGAAAAAUGGAAACUAAGACUCAAGAGGAAAGAGAGAGUAGAACGAAUCAAUCCUGCAUAAGAUAGGUAGCUUUUAGCUUUGAACCUUCCCUUGUGAAACCUAUCGGGAAUUACUAGCAAACCAGUGGAUCUGAUGCCUUGAACUGUUUCGCCAUUUGUGUAAACCAAGACAAUAGAUCUCACACAGGACCAUUCUAGUCAUAGCAUAGUUCUUACUGUUGUGUUCGUUUUGGCCAUGAACAUGUCGCCUGGUUCUGCAAGUGUUUUUUCAAGGAUGUAGCCUUGCCAAUCUUUAUAGAAGCGGCCCCACUUCACACUCACAUAGGUGACCUCUUAACUCAAUUUUUCACAACAACGCUUAAUGGUCAUUAAAAGCAUAGCUUAACCUGCAUCUUCCAAUCACUGUGAGCACCAUAGGAAUGAGCAGAAGGAGAACAUUCUCAAUGAUUUACACAAAUAUACAUGUUUUAGUUGUCCUUUUGAACCAAGAUCCUGGGAUCUCCACUCAGCUAGGUUGGGUUUCCUCCAUGAUACCUUUCAACGUCAUAGGCUGCAAGCUCAUUCCCCUUGAUGCUUUUACAACUAGCUCUCGAGUUAGCCCUUUGGGUAGUGGAUCCGCAAUAUUAUCCUUUGACUUCACGUAGUUCAGAGUGAUAAUACCUUGUGAAAGUAGUUGUCGAAUGUUAUUGUGUCGUCUUCGAAUAUGGCGAGACUUAUCAUUAUACAUAUUACUCUGUGCCCUGCCAAUUGUUGAUUGAUUAUCGCAAUAAACACAAAUUGCAGGCACAGGCUUUGACCAUCUUGGAAUAUCCUCGACAAACUAGCAAAGCCACUCUACUUCUUCAGUUGCUUUGUCCAAAGCGAUGAACUCUGAUUCCAUUGUAGAUCUUGCGAUGCAAGUUUGUUUUGACGAUUUCCAAGAGACAGCUGCACCACCAAGAGUGAAGACAUAUACACUAGUAGACUUGGUAUCUGACAUAUCUGAUAUCCAAUUUGCAUCAGCAUACCCUUCAAUUACUACAGGGUAUCUAGAAUAGUGCAGUCUAAGAUCAUGAGUGUGCCUUAAAUAAUUUAGCACACUAAAAAUGGCUUUCCAGUGGACAGCACCUGGAUUACUCGUGUAGCGAUUCAAUUUGCUAACUGAGUAUGUUAUAUCCGGUCUCAUACAAGUCAUUAAAUACAUUAAACUCCCAAUUAUCCGAGAAUAUUCUAACUGUGAUACACCAUCACCAGUGUUCUUGGAUAAGUGGAGACUCAAAUCCACUAGAGUCCUGGCCACAGUGGUAUCUGACUUGUUGAACUUGUCUAGUAUCUUAUCAAUGUAAUGAGAUUGACAUAACAUAAGUCCAUUUGGUGUUCGAGUAAUUUUAUACUCCCAAAAUGGCAUCCGCAAGACCCAUAUCUUUCAUGUAAAAUUUCGAGUUUAGUGACUUUGAUAAUCUUUUCAGAGCUACCGACAAUGAGCAUGUCGUCGAUGUAUAGACAUAGCAUGACAUAUCCAUCAUUAGUGUCCUUGACAUAUACACACUUGUCGCACUCGUUGAUUCUAAAACCACUAGAAAACAUAGCAUUAUCAAACUUCUCAUGCCAUUGCUUAGGUGCUUGCUUCAAACCAUACAUCGAUUUAACCAGUCUACAAACUUUCCUUUCUUGACCUAGAGUUGUAAACCCCUCUGGUUACUCCAUGUAGAUUUCUUCAUUCAAAUCUCCAUUUAGGAAAGCUAUUUUUACAUCCAUCUGAUGUAUUUUCAAAUUUCGCAAGGCCGUAAUAGCAAUUAUCAUCCGGAUAGAAGUUAUUCUCGACACAAGAGAAUAAGUAUCAAAAUAAUCUAUGCCUUCCUUUUACUUAUAACCUUUGAUUACUAGCCGAGCUUUAUAUUUAUCAAUAGAGCCGCCCGCUUUCAUCUUCUUCUUGAAGAUCCACUUGUAGCCUAAAGGCUUACAGCCCGGUGGAAGAUCUACUAACUCCCAGAUAUGAUUCUGUAGAAUGGAAUCAAUUUUACUUUUGAUGACUUCUUUCCACAAAUCACCAUCUGGAGAAGAUACAGCUUCUUUAUAGCUUUGAGGAUCAUUCUCCAUCAAAUAUGUGAGAAAAUCAGGGCCAAACGUCUUAGAAGUUUUGGUCCUUUUGCUCCGUUUAGGCUCAUCCUCACUUUCUUCAACUGGAUCUUUUCUGUUGCCAGAAGCAGAAGAUUCCAUUGUCCGUUUAAUAGGAGUUAACUUUUUAGGAAACUUACAAGGAAAUAUAUUCUCAAAGAAUUGUGCAUUCCCGACUCCAUAAUCGUAUUCGGAUGAAUAUCAGGUACAUUCGAAUAAUGCACAAGGAACCUAUAUGCACUACUAUUUUGUGCAUAACUAAUGAACACACAAUCAACUGUCUUAGGUCCAAUCUUGACCUUCUUAAGAGGAGGCACCACAACUUUAGCAAGACACCCCCACUUUCAUAAGUAUUUAUAUGAAGGUGUCCGAUUUGUCCAAAGUUCAUACGGAGUCUUAUCCAUAUUCUUUCUUAACACUUUAUUCAAGAUGUAAUUUGCGGAAAGAAUAGCUUCUCCCCACAUAUUCUGUGGUAAUCCAGAACUAAUCAACAUAAUAUUCAUCAUUUCCUUUAAAGUUCUAUUUUUACGCUCAAAUAUUUCGUUCUGCUGAGGUAAAUAAGGUGCAGUAAUUUGGUGAAUUAUUCCAUGUUUAGCACAAAAUUCACCAAAUAAUGAUUCAUAUUCACCACCACAAUCACUCUGUAGCACCUUUAUUUUCUUACUAAGUUGAUUUUCAACUUCAUUCUUAUAAAGAAUAAAUUUAUCGAUAGCUUCUUCUUUGCUUUUAAGCAAGUACACAUAUAAAUAUAUAUCGUACUAUCAUUGACAAAAGUAAUAAAAUACUUUUUACCGCCUCGUGUUUGGACAAAUUUCAAAUCACAUACAUCAUUGUGGACUAGUCCCAAUGGCUCAAUACUUCUUUCAAUACUAUGAAACAAAGACCUAGUAAGCUUAGAUUCAACGCAUGUUUCACAUUUAUGAUUUGAAUCAAUUUGAAAUCUAGGAAAGUAAUUUAGUUUGCUUAGUCUACGUAAAGCAUUGUAAUUUACGUGACCUAAUCUACCACGCCACAGAUUAGGAGACUCAAGCAAGUAAAUAGAAGGAGUUUUCUCAUUACUCAUAACAGUUGGGGUUAUAGCAAUUACAUUCAAUUUAAACAGGACAUCAGUCAUAUAGCCUUUCCCAACAUAAACUCCUAUUUUGGUAAUCACCAGCUUAUCCGCCUCAAAGACCAUGCGGAGCCCAUUCUUGCUUAGAAGAGACCCAGAGACCAGAUUCUUGCGAAUCUCUGGCACGUACAGCACAUUAGUCAGAGUAAGCUCUUUGCCAGAUGUCAUCUUCAGGAUCACAUUGCCUUUACCAAGCACUUCAGAAGUUGCAGAGUUUCUCAUGAACAACUUUUCACCAUUUGUAACUGGUGCAAAAGUAGUGAACAUGCUCCUGUUGGAGCAGACAUGGCAAGUGACCCCAGUGUCCAGCCACCACUCCUUUGGGUUAGACCCCACCAGGUUAACCUCACUAAUCACCGUCGUGAGAUUUAGCUCAGACAUUUCAUCUGAGAGAUGAUCUCUCUCAUUUCCAACCAUAUUAGCUUGAGGACGCUGCUUAUUAUCCCUCCGAGGCUGACGGCAGUUUGUUGAUCGAUGCCCAACUUUGUCACAAUUGAAGCAUUUUCCAUUGAACUGGAACUUAGGUUUCUUUCCUACCCCACCUGCGUGCUUCAACCGAGACCCUUUCGUACCCUUUUUUUAUCUUUUCGAUUUCCAUUACCCUGUUUGGCUUUAAAGGAGUGAACUUUCUUAGUACCAGAAAUUUGACCGUACUCCAAUACAUUAGCCUUCUCAGAGUAAGAAUUCUCUGACUUACGUUCAGCCCAUUUGUUAUCUUCCUUAAUGCGCACUUGAUAAUUAAAUUCUCGAAAGACAUCUCUUUCCUCUUAUGCUGCAAAUAGCUUUUGAAAGCCUUCCACUAAGGAGGUAGCUUGUGAAUAGCAGUAGCCACCUGUAGAGAUUCUAAUAUGGUCAGACCCUCAGCAUGCAUUUCUUGCAAAAGCACUUGAUACUCUUGCACUUGGCUCACCACUGAACGUGAAUCAACCAUUUCGAAGUCUAUACACCCACUGGCUAAGAAUUUCUUAGAUCCGGCAUCCUCGGUCUUGUAUUUCUUUUCUAAGGACUCCCAGAGCUCCUUAGCAGACUUUUUUUACCACAUAUACGUGAUACAUAGAAUUUUGUAGGCCAUCCAAGACAUAGUUGCGAUACAAAAAAUCAGCACUUUUCAAAGCGUCCCAAGCUGCACGCCUAUGCACGUCAGUGUCAUUUUCAGCCACGAUAGGGACAUACUCAGUGAGGAAACGUGCAAGGCCCAACAUUGUGAGAUAGAAUACCAUCUUAUUCUGCCAUGUCUUAAAAUCAGUACCAGCAAACUUAUCGUGUCGAAUUGCAUGAUUCACCGAAAAUGGAGCUGGAAACGAUGGCAAAUGUACCGAAGUCGUAGCCCUAGGCACUGGCAAAGGUAUUGUGCCAAACUGGAUUGUCGAGGCCGCAGCCGAAGGCAAAGUUGGGUUCACUCCAACAUGAGGAAUUCCGCCUCCAAUUAUCUCGUCAAUGGGAGAAAUGUCAGUUGUGGUCUCCAUAGGGUUAACAACAGUCAUUGUAGGAUUUGGUACACCGGUACCAACAGUAUUGCUUCCGUUGUUCAAAUCGUUAUUUCCAUGUGACGCCAUUGAACCGGAACAAGCAACAAAUAAUUUAGAAUAAUUAUAAGUUUGUAAAGUUGUAUAUAAAUUCGAAAUCAAGUUAUCUGUUCAGAAAAUAAAACUGCAGAGUUGAAGAACGGAUUAUUUUGUCAAAUUAUUAAUAACUUAACAAUCAUUUAAAAUGAAUUAGAAAUCAUGCAAAAACCAUGAACUGGAAAAAUUUGACAAAACUAAUGAACAAAAUUUGAUUUACUAAAGUCAAUUCGAUUUAAGCUUGUAGGUAAAUAUUAGAGAAUCAAAUCAAACUGAAGGCCUUUGUAUUCACAGUUUCCUUAAAUCAAAUUCGUUGCCUCACCGGAGUGCAAGAGGUUUGGAUCGGUGUUCGAUUCCCAGGAUACAAUCGGUUGUCAGUUCACGCUGCAGUACGUUAACCGCCUGCGAACUAGUUGUGAUAUACUCUAUCUCAUAAAGAAAUUAUAAGCACAAGGAAGAACUUGAAAGUAAGAAAAAGAAGAUUGCUGCUUAGAGGAAGAAGCUUGCAUUUCAUUUGUAUUUUUCCAACCUAGAGAGAUUUCUAUUUAUACCAAUGGAGGAAAAGCUAGCUCAUUAAUCAAGGAGUUAAGCCAUUUAUUGAUAAAGGAGUUAAAAAAUGAAGGGACUUGAGUUACAACAUAUGAAGAGACUCUAUUCAAUAUUUUUCAUUACUUCUAUUCAAUAUUUUUCAUUUAAUUCUAACAGGAUGCAAAUGGAUUUACAAGAUAAAGAAGGGAACCACUGAGAGUGAGCCCAUGAGAUAUAAGGCUAGGUGAGUAGUCAAAGGGUACGCAUAGAAGGAUGGGGCAAAUUACAAUGAAAUUUUUUCACCUGUUAUUAAGUAUACCAAUAUUAGGGUCAUGCUUACAUUUGUUCCUAACUAUAAUUGGAAACUUGCACAACCUGAUGACAAAAUUUUUUUUUUUUAUUAUUAUUUUUGGCAUGGUGAUCUUGAUGAAAUAGUUUUUAUAAAUCAACCUAUUUUGAAAUUAAAGAUAAACCUAAUCAUGAUUGUUUUUUUUUAAAGAAAUCUCUCAAUAGGUUAAAAUAGUCUGCACAUCAAUGUUAUAAAAGGUUUGAUUCGUUUGCGCCUUCUAUUGGUUUUAAGAUGAAUGAAUUUGACCAUUAUAUUACUAGCACUAAUAAAGAUUGUGCAUUUGUUACUUUAUGUGGAUGACAUGUUAUUAAUUAAACUUAACAUGAAAAUGGUAAACAAGAUUAAGAGGUACUUAAGUAAAGAAAAUGACAUGAAUGACCUAGGAUAUGCUAGGGGGAUCCUUGGUACGGAGAUUGAUAGGGAUAGAUCUAAUUUUUGCUUAUUUGUGUAUCAAACUCCUUAUAUGCUUAAAAUUUUGAAGAAAUUUGGCAUGAUUGACAUGUUUCUGUACCUCUUGGAAAACAUUUUAUUUUUUUAAAAAAACAAUAACCUGGUAAUGAUGAGGAAUAUGAUUUUAUGAAUAGAAUUCCUUACUCAAAUGUCAUUGGCUCCAUUAUGUACCUUAUGAUCUGCACUAGGCUAUAUUUCGCUUUUAUUGUUAGUGUAUUGAGUAGAUACAUGUCUAAUCUUGGGUCCCAAAUAUUGGGAAGUAUUAAAGUGUUUGCUUAGGUACUUGAUGGGUACUUUUGAUAAGCAGUUAGUUUAUAAGUCUAUUGGUGAGGAUGUGAAAAUUAAAGGUUUUACAGAUGCUAACUAUAGUGAAGAUAAAGAUAUUUGGAAGCUGACAUCUUCUUAUGUGUUUUCUUUGUGUAAUUCUUGUAUGAGUUGGAAGUCACAACUCUAAAAUUAUUGCUGCUCUAUCCACUACUAAGUCCAAGUAUAUUGCUGCCACGAAAACUAUUAAAGAAGCUUUUUGUGAUUUAAGGGUUUACUUAAUGAAUUGGGUGUUUUAAGUGAUAAUGUGAUAGUAUACUCUAAUAGUCAAUAUGUCAUCCAACUGGGUAAAAAUACUUUGUUUCACGAAUGUACUAAAUAUAUAGAUGUUAGAUUUUAUUUUAUUAGAGAUGUAAUAUCUCGAGAUUUGAUAAAACUCGAGAAAGUGCAUUUAGAUUAUAAUCCUGCUAAUAUUGGCACUAGGGUGCUCCCUCGAUAAAGUUUAAAAGUUGUCUUACAUUUCUAAACAUCAAUAAACCUAUGUAACAUUUUAAUCUUGUUUGAAAUCACAUUAAGCAACUGCUAAACUAGUUUUUUCUUUUGCAUGUGUAUUUGACUUCAAGGUGGAGGUUUGUUAGGUAUUUGAUAUCAAAUACGAACCCUAGCGAUAAUGAUUAAUUGGGUCGGCUUUAAUUCAUAGGUUUUGUUAAAAGCCCAUUAUUGAAUAAUAUUAAUUACGUUGACCCAAGAUUUCAAUUGUUAGCCCAAAGAAUUGAGAGAGACCAAGAAUCUCACUAUUGGAAAUUAGGGCGAUUAGGGGCUCGACCCUCUUAUUAUUUAGACCAAGCCUUCUUCUUUGUGACACGGCCUCUCCCCCUCUAUCGGCGAUAGACGUCGGCACUCAACGACCUCUGGCACCUUCGCGUGGUGUGAUUCACUGGCUUCUACCAAUUUUGUGGAUGCUCUUUGCUUGCUUUUUAUUGUGUUCCUUAUGGCGAUUCUUCUGUGGUCUCAGAGAUUUCUUGGUUCUAUCGAGUAUGGGGUUGUGAUCUUAGGUUGUUAAAUCUGAGCCCUAUAAUUCCACCAAUUGCUGCAAUCGUGAUUUUGAUAUGAAAGUUCUAUUCUUGCUCAUUUUCAUUGAUUUGAUUAUUGUUAUUCAAUUGAUUUGGAGCUUACUUUUUCGUUGUUUCAAUUGAAGGUAGUUUUAUUCCCCACAGUUACAAUGGACAAAAAAUGAGAGAAUGAAUUCUAAUAAAGGAAUACCGUAUGGGCUUCUAUUAUAUUAAUUUACACAACUACUCAAUUCAAGGCAUAAAGUCUACUAAUUAGUCAAAUAAUUCCUAUAAAUUCUCACUGGAAGAAGUUCAAGGGCUUUGGCUACCAUCAGGGAUGCAACCUUUUUAUUUUUAUCAAUUAUUUUAAUAAUAAUUUUAUUUUUAUUUAUUUAUUUAUUUAUUUAUUUAUUUAUUAUUAUUAUUUUUUUUUUUUUUUGGUAUACUAAACGAUAUUCUAAAUUUUUUAGCCAUAUUUUCAUUGACGUGAAGGGGUUGAUUGAGAAAUUAGGAAAUUGAUGAAGAAAUUUUCUUCGUUAUAGAUAGGAAGAAGAUUGGAACUUAAGUUGAAGAUUGUACGAGGAAAUAACAAGUGAAAUAUCAGAGCAUGUUCAAUGCAAAGAAUGGAUUAUUAUUUAGGUAGCAUGUAAGUUGAAAGAUUUUCAUAGUAUGUGCAAUGAUAUAUAAUGAAUAGGCACUCAAGUCAAAAUUUGUUCUCCAUCGAGUUCUAUUUAUAACUCUUUAUUUUUGUUUAGGUUUCCUUUAUUUUUCUAAAAUAAAAAUCACAUCUAAAUCUAAUCCUAUUGUGUCACUCAAUGCAACAAAGCUUCUCAAUUUAGAUGGAAUUCUUAACUAUGUGCGAUUCUUUCUAGUUGAAGCAGAAGAAAUUAAAAGACAUUAUGAAGAAGUUCUUCUAGAUCUUGAUGCUCUAAUAAAUGGAGUGAGUAAGAAGAAUUUAAGUUUCCUAUUUCUUUCUCCUGUUUCUUCUGUGAGCUAGCAGUUUGCAUGAUGUAUUCGAGAUGCUCUUAGUAGGGAAGAAAUGAAGGACAAUUUAGGAAUUCGAUUGGACCAAAGAUGCAAAAAUUUACGUGGAUUAUUGUGCAUAGAAAAUGAAGUCACAUUCAGCUUUUCUCUCAAUUAUUGUCCUCCCAUUCCGUUUGAUUGUAAAAAUGAAAUUUGGAUAAAAUGAAAAUGAAUUUCAAAGAAUUAAAUUGCCUAAAAAUUAUUUUACUGAAAAUUGUCAAUUAUUGUGUUUGAUUGGUAUAAUUUUUCACAUGAAAAAUGUUGAAAUAAGUAUUUUUUGGUAUUCAUUUGACUUUAUUUUAUAUGAAAAUUGUCAAUUAAAAGGAUAGAAUUUACUGGUAUUGGGUAUGAAAUUUGUUUCUAUUGCCAAAAAAAUUCAAAAAAAUAAUAUAUCUUUUAGUGUUCAUUUGACUUUAUUUUACAUGAAAAUUGUCAAUUAAAAGAAAAUAUUUUUUUUACAACUAGGGAUAGAAUUUGUUUUCAUUGUAAAACAAAAAAAAUGGCCAACAGCUAGUGAGAAUUCAUUUUCAUCAAUUUGGUUGAAAAUGACUUAGGUGGCAUGACAAUGGGAAAAUGAAUUCCCCAGGCAAAAAAUUAUCAAACAUCCAUUUUUGAUUUAGAGUGAAAAUCAAAUUCCAUUUUCUAUGAAAUUCAUGCUUAUGAGACAUGGCCUAAUAGAAAAUGGACCAAAUUAGGAAUUUGAUUGGACCAAAAAUGCAAAAAAUUUACGUGGAUUAUUGUGCAUAGAAAAUGAAGUCUCCUUCAGCCUUUCCCUCAAUUAUUGUCCCCCCUGUAAUAAUAUAAUAGUUCAAGGACAACUUAGGAAUUCGAUUGGACCAAAGAUGCAAAAAAUUUACGUGGAUUAUUGUGCAUAGAAAAUGAAGUCUCCUUCAGCCGCUCUCCCAAUUAUUGUCCCCGGAUCUAUUUGAUUGUAAAGAUGGAAUUUGAGUUAAAAAAAAUGAAUUUCAAGAAAUUGAAUUGUCUAGAAAUUAUUUUACUGAAAAUUGUCAAUUAUUGUGUUUGAUUGUUAUAAUUUUUCACGUGAAAAAUAUUGAAAUAAAAGUAUUUUUUGGUAUUCGUUUAGCUUUAUUUUAUAUGAAAAUUGUCAAUUAAAAGGACAGAAUUUACUGGUAUUGGGGAUGAAAUUUGUUUCUAUUGCCAAAAAAAUAAAAAAAAAUCAAGAAAAACAUCUAUUUUUUGGUGUUCGUUUGACUUUAUUUUACAUGAAAAUUGUAAAUUAAAAGAAAAAAAAAAAAAAUAUUAUUUAUUUAUUUAUUUAUUUUUUGCAAUUAGGGAUAGAUAGGGAUGUCAAAACGGGUCGAGCGGCUCGUCGGCUCAGCAGCUCGGCUCAUCAAACCUCGGCACGUGGGCGGCUUGGGCUCGUCAUUUGGCUCAAUUCGUCAAAAAAUAUUAAUUUUUUUAAAAAAUUGUUCAAAAUAUGCAAAUUUACCCCAAAAAUUUUUUUUUUUAAAUUAAAAAAAUUACGAGCUCACGAGCCGCUCGUGAGCUCGGCUCGGCUCGACCCGCGAGCUCGUGGCUCAUGAGCUCGUGAGCCGAGCUGAGCUAGCUCCCGAGCAACGAGCUGAGCCGAGCCCGAGCUCGGCUCGGGUUCGGCUCUCUUCCAUGAGCCACGAGCCCGAACUCGAGCCGAGCUUGUGGGUUAAAGGAUCGAGCCAGGUCGACUUGACCCAUUGCCAUCACUAUGGAUAUAAUUUAUUUUCAUUGUAUAAAAAAUAAAAAUAAAUGGCCAAUAGCUAGUGAGCAUUCAUUUUCAUCAAUUUGGUUGAAAAUGACUUAUGUGACAUGAAAGUGGGAAAAUGAAUUCUUUAAGAAAAAACUUAUCAAAUAUCCAUUUUUGAUUUAGAGUGGGAAUCAAAUUCCAUUUUCUAUGAAAUUCAUGCUUAUAAAACAUGGCCUAAUAGUUCUAGGACAAAUUAGGAAUUCGAUUGGACCACAGAUGCAAAAAUUACGUGGAUUAUUGUGCAUGGAAAAUGAAGUCUCCUUCAGGCUUCAGCCUUUUUCUCAAUUAUUGUCCCCCUGCCAUAAUAGUUUGGGGAAUUUACACAAAUGUCACUAAAAUUGAAAAUGCAAAAAAAAUUUGGACAUUCACCAAUUUCUUUCAAGAAUGUCAAUUUUUCCCUACAAAAUGUUCACUUUAUCCUUUAACACCUUUUUGGAGCAAUAAAUGCUUGAUUUGAAUGCAAUUAAUGUUAUGAUGUGAUUAAUUUAUUUUUGCUUUAAAUUUAAUAUUGAAGAUAUGAUAUUAUAUUGUAUAAUAAGAUUUUUUUGAUUAAAAAGGGGGUGAAAUCUUUACAAAACACACACACACACACACACACGAAUUGAAAGAGCUUCUUCUUCUUCAUCAUCUCCACUCCAUCAUCAACAAGGAAACAAGGAAAGUCAUUGACAAAUUUGAAAGGUAAGGUAGUAGAAAAAAGUUCAUCUCAUGUCAUAGUUGACUACUUUAAUUUUUCAAUACAAUAUGAUCAUAUUUAAAUGAACCCUUUCAAUCUCUUAUUCAUUGAUGUAGUAAAUUUUUGGUAUAUUUUAGAAAGAAAAAUUAUACCAACAUUAUAUAGAAAAUGUGAAGUAUUCCAUAUAUAAUUAAACAUUUAAUGAACAUUAAGUGAUAUCUUGUUCAUUUCUAAAAAGAUACAGUGAUAUUGUAGUUCAGAAUUUAUUAUGGCCUUUACCGUUUUCAAUAAAUUCGUCAAACAGUGAAGCACAUGGAAUUUAUCUUUCUCGAAAGUUAUGGCAGUAGAACUGUCGAGUGGUAUCUUGGAAACUGUCGGGUUAGACAUUUUAACUGUCGAGCUCGACAUUUAAUGACUGUCGGGAUAGAAAAUGUAAUUGUCGAUUUCGACAGCUGAAAACUGAUCAUCUUUUAUAUCUUUGGUAGUACAUGGAUGUAAGUGUUUUCGUGUGCCAAUUUGAUGUUAUGAAAUGUCGAUAUAUGAAUCUGCAGAAUUCUCACUUUUGCAAUCCUAACAUUUCAUGUAUGAGUCACGAUUUUAGAUUCAUCGUGUCGCAUGGAGGAAACUUCGUUCACUCAGAUGAUGAAUGGAAGUGGAGAGGGGACAAAACCACUUCCAUUUUAGUGUCGAGAAGUAUUACCGUAGCAGAACUUCUGUUACGAUUGAAGGAGAAACUUGGUAUCGUUGAAUCCCGCAAUGCAAUCGAAUUGAAAUUCAAAGUCCCGAACUUGAAUCUACCUCCGGCAGAGAUACGCGACGAUGAGGAUCUACAGUGGUACAUAUCUGUUCAUAAGGAAACUGCACUCUGCAUCACAUAUUUGGUAUCCGAGCUCCCAAUUGUUGGUAUGGCAACAGAUGCAAACUGUGAAGGGAGCUUGUUCGGCCCAACGGAAUGUCCACCGAAUGUACAACAUGACGAGAUGAAUCAUCACCACAGUGUGUCGCAAACCGAACGACCCGAACCUCCAAUUGAGAGUAUAGAGGCUGCAGCAUCCGCCGAACACUUAGAGAACCCAUUACAUGGUGCAGAUCGUGCUUUUAUUGCUGAAAUAGACGAGACAAUGUCAUCAAAUUCCAGACGUUCGUGCAGAGAUGAGUGGAUUACAGCUGCAAAUACAUCAGUUCUCGCCGAGAAGCAAAUAUUUUUUACCAAGAAACAGUUGUACUCGAAGCUUCAUGUACUUGCUUUGCAAGAGAAGUUCCAAUUCCGGGUAAGCAGGUUAAGCUUGAAAAUGUUAACAGUUGUCUGUGUGGAUGAUAAUUGCAAGUGGAUGCUACGUGCUUCUACUGUCAAGCAGUCUGCAAUCUUCAUGAUCCGUAAGUUCGUUGCAGUUCACACAUGUUCCCUUGAUUUUCGUCGUAACGCACAUCGGCAUGCCACUAGUGCUGUAAUUGCGGAGCACAUUUUGGGAAAAUUGGAUACUCCAUACCGAUCAUAUCCGCCUACUCAUAUUGCACGUGAUAUGGAACGUGAGUUUGGUGUGAAAAUCAGUUAUAGCAAAGCACGUAGGGGGAAGCUCCAUGCCUUAAAUAUGCUACAUGGUACACCAAGGGACAGUUUUCAGAAAUUAUCUUCGUACUGUCACGUCGUAGGAGAAAGUAGCCCGGGGACCGUUACCCACAUCGAAGUUGAUUGUUGUAAUAGGUUUCGUUACUUCUUUGUAGCUUUUGGUGCAAGCAUUCGUGGAUACAUGCAGUACUUGAGACCCGUUAUUUGUGUGGACGGCAGUCACUGAAAGGUCCAUAUAAAGGUACACUCCUAGUGGCAACUGCCCAAGAUGGUAACAAACAGAUUUAUCCGUUGGCAUGGGGGAUCGUGGAUGCUGAAACCAAUAAAUCGUGGAAGUGGUUUUUGUCGAACUUGAAAGACCUUAUAGGGGAUUCCGAAGAACUCGUGUUCGUUUCAGACAGGAAAAAGAGUAUUCAGAAAGCUAUUUCUCAGUUGUUUCCUUCGUCUCGGCAUGGUUGUUGUAUAUGGCAUAUGGAAAAGAAACUAAUACAGCGGUAUAACAACGCAAGCCUAUUAUUUCUAUUCAAACGAGCUGCUACAACUUUUCGGGUCGAGGACUUCGAACGACUCAUGGGACAGAUUCGUAGAGUGAGCGAAAGAGCGCACGGGUACUUAGAGCGAGCGGGAUAUUCAUUUUGGUCCAGAGCACUAUUUCUUGGACACCGUUACAAUAUUAUGACAAACAACAAUGCAGAGUCGUUGAACUCGAUGUUGAGAGAUGUCCGGUCGUUACCGAUAACCUGCUUGGUUAAACACAUUCGGAGUAUUAUGCAAAAGUGGUUUUACGAACGUCGAGCAAAUGCGGAAGAAUGCAGUACCUUAUUGACACCAAGAAUGGAGAACGAGCUACGGACGACUUUCGAAAAUGGAACUAGGCUUCAAGCCCAUGCCCUGACAAACAACUUGACGCAGGUUGGAAAAUCCAACGACACGGACAUAGUUGACUUGUCCGAAGAAACCUGCACAUGUCGUGAGUUCCAACUAAACCGUAUGCCAUGUGUUCAUGCAAGUCGUGCUGCUUGCUUUAGAGGGAAGACGUUGUACGAGCUUUGCUCCCGUUAUUAUUUAUUGGACUACUGGAAGGGUGCCUACAGCGAAACUAUAUAUCAUGUUCCGAGGGAAGUGGAUUGGGUUGUUCCGAGCUUAAUUACAUGUACUCCUAUUUUCCCACCACUCGUACGUCGUCCUCCAGGUAGACCACCAACCCGCCGUAAGCGUUCUAGGUAUGAGUAUGCAUGGUCUACCAGAAAAUGUACCCGUUGUGGUAGAGUCGGUCAUAAUCGGACCACGUGUUCAAACCCCCGUGUAUCACAUGCUCCUUCAAGAUUUGCAGGUUUAUAGACGUUGUAUGUUAAUUAUUCCGUACUACAUCGAACAUUAUGAAGUUACGAUUUACAGUUUGUGAUCAUUAAUGUUCUUGCAUGUUGCGCAUCCUGUUGUGCACAUAAAGAUUUCACUGUCUGUCCAGCACGUAGUAAACAUCCCGCCCAGUUCAAAUAUUGGCCCCGAUAGAUGUGUUACUUAUUCUCGACAGUUGACGAAACCUUGCACUGCACUCACGGUCUGCGUCACACAUACAUGUUGUGACCUCUAAACACGAGAACGAAAAAUGUUCGAUACUGUACAUAUAUAUUUUUUCCCAUUUCGAAACGCAAUCUUCUAUCCCCUACAGAUUUACUAUCAUUAGCAUCAUCUUAAAUCGAAAUUAAAGGUAGUGCAAAACGCAAUCUUGAAUCCCGAAGAAAUGUACAAUCAUUUGCAUCAUCGUAAAUCAUGGAUUAAAGUUAGUCCAAGAUACACACCUUUCACAAUAGCCGUUUUACAUACUGCAAAAUACAUAACCAUUUUUGUACAUUUUAUUGAUACUGCCCGACAGUUGACAUGUCGUCCCCGACAGAUAGUCUCAGUAAUUCUCGACAGUUCGACCGAAAAACGCAAAAAACAUGCCACGAAUUGCAUGUUAGAGACAUGUUCACAUGGACUUUUUGGUAUUGUCUUAACUAAGGUCAUCCCUACAAAAUACCUUACUAUACAGUACUUAUUCACUACAUUCCAUGGGUCUCACAUUAGUCGUCGUCGACAACUGAACCAUGGUCCCCGCUAUCCUCACCUGACUCGUCGAAAGAGAUGAUAAUGACCUCAUUUGGGGGAUCGUACGCCAUCCAUUCGUCGUCAUCGUCGGAAUCCCCCUCGUAUCCGGCAUCCAGCUCGAACUCCUCAUUGAGGACUCCAUUCGGUGAUUGCGAAAUAUAAAUUGGAAAAAGCGGAGAUGAACCAAGAACUGGCAGUGGCUCGUUCAUGUUCAACGGUUCGUUGCUUCCUGUGGAAGAACUCAUUACGUGAACGUAUAGUAGUACUAAAGGAAUGAUAAGUGUCUGUGAGAAGGUGAAUGGGUGACAAUGGUCUUGAAGGAACUUGUUUGUAAGUGAGAAUGAAGUCCCACACUUUUUAUAAGCAAAUUGAAGGGGGAAACAAUUAUGGUCUCCAUCUACCCAACAACCAAGUCAAUUCUCCUAGUAAAUUUGAAAUGCAAUUGGUGUGAUGGUUGAAUAAAUGAAGUAUACCUUUAUCCCCCAUUUCCCCAUACUUAGUACAAUGUUAAACACUCUUUAAUCAUGUGCCCAAAUAAGGAAAAGUGUGCAUAUCUGCAACAAAAACCUGCUCAAUCUAAUUGCUACUUUUAAGUUGCCAUGGUUGUAAUGGUAUAGUUCCUCACACGUACAGGUCAUCAUCGCAAGACACAUGGAAGACGAACAACGAAAUAAUUAUUUUUACUAAUUUCAUUGAUUUAUGAAUUACUUUUUACCGUGGUUCUCAUGCUCUUGACAGUUGUAACGACUCAUCUUCUCGUUGCAUCUCAUGUAUGUGCCUUAAUGCCUUAGUUUGAGAAUUUAUCAUAAUAAUAUCGUCCCCGAUUAAAGCUAUAGUGAAAACUAGAUACCACUACAUAAAUUUAUGAAAUAUAACAUUCCCUAUGUAAUGUAACCAACACGAGUGUAAGAAGCGUAACACAAAUUAGAAAAUCUUAAAGACUCGAAGUAUAUUACUACAUCUAUAAUAAGAUUGGAUCGAAUAUCAACAAUAUCAAGAAAACAGUAGUUACAAAGCAUUUCGGGAAAUUGGCAUGUUGCAUACGCAUGUUCCCCUCCUCCAAGAGAAAAUAAGCGCACACAAUAUGUCCAAAAAAAACAUAUACCGAACAACAAAACGAACCUGAUUGAUAGAAUCGACAAAGGUAAAAUACCAGACACAAUUCAUAAACACUACAACUAGCGAUCAGCCAAACAAAAUAAAAUAUGAGGAAUCUGUCCACGUAUCACCAUGGUACGCAAGAGUAAUGAAAAUGUAAUGUAAAACGAAUUCAAACAAAAGUUAUUUAUCCAACAUGUUAACAUCCGUCACCACCUUCACGAAAUCGCUGACAGGGUAUUACCAACUACAACACCACCGUCGUGCUGUCCCCACAGUUCACAUCCCUUUUACUUCUUCGUUCGCUUCGCCGCCCUUGUAUAUGGAGUCUUGGCCGCACGAGCUGGACGUCGCACCCGUGCCUAGCGCCGACUCGUCGUAUGAACUCCGUGUCCUGGUUCGGCUACACUGGCGGGAACAGGGACUUCAGCGAGAUCGCCUACGAGAAUUUAAAAGGAGGGGGGAGUUAGUGACCAUAAAUUCCCUUCACGUAGCAUACGUAACAUACAAUAAGUGAUGCAGAGAAUGAACUUACCAUCACCAUCCGUAACAUCGCAACCCUGUAAGUCGGCAUCGUUGCUCGGGCCCGUAUGUGAGGGCUCCAUGGCUCCUCCAUCUGACAUUACAACACAUUUGUAACUGCAUAUGUGUUGGACGUUUGCAGUUGGAAGAUAAUGGAAGCGUACAGGAAGAAAGAAAAUGAGAAAAAUAAUUCCCAUGUUACCGUUCAAAUCCGGGACGGCAAAUAUCGGCUCCAUCUGUCCUCCACCUAAUUGGAGACCACAAUCACACCACAGGAAUAUGUUAUUGCAUUUUCAUGAAGUCAGAACGGAAGUAGAUGACAUCGAAUAUAGUAGGGAAAAAUAGUAGCACAUGACAACGUACCUAUCUGUUCGUCGGUUGCUACGGGCAGUGGGUCGUGUACGUUGUCCGGUCGAGCCGCGAUGUCUUCUCCAUCUGUUGAUGAGAACAUGAAAACUGUGUGAAUACAUUAGGUUUCCCAACUUCCACAACAUACAAAGUCCGUCAAAUAACAAGUUUCAAUGUGCUCAUAAAUAACCCACGUACCUUGUACAUGUGCAGUUCCUGUAUCUGCUCGCAUGUCUUGCUCGUCUGGGGAAUGCUCCAUUUCUCCUCCACGUAUUUCUAACUCGCAAUCGUCGUAUGGAAAAAAUGUUAGCUACAGGUGCAUGUGCUACUGUCAAACAUGGGUGAAAAUUAUAAACCAAACGGUUUAUGUAUUGAACAUUCAUAUCUUGCGGAAUGCUACCUGAAACGCCACCCUCGGUAUCGGCGGGCAUCGCGGCUGGAACGGGGGUCGGAGCAGGUGGGGCCACGAGGGUUGCAAAGAAAGCUCGGAGUUUUUUACAUUCGAAUGUCACGUGCUGUUCGAUUUCAAGCUUGACGGUGCGGAGUCGCAUUUCAAAGAGAAUUCUUUGGUCGAACAACAUCUCUUCCACCUCCUCUUUGGUGACGCCUGAUCCGGAUGUGCCAACUGGCCGUGUCUCCAUCGUCGGCCCUCGCACUGGAGAAGAUACGUCGGUCGCUGGAGGUGUGGAAGACGCACCGGUCUGCCCUCUACAAGUAUCCGCACCGACGCUGGAUCGCUCACUGGCGCCCUCGCCACUCUCCUCGGCAUCGGCACCUUCAUCUCCAGACAUGUCAUCCUCACCACCUCCUCUGCUCGAGACUCCGUCAUCGGAUUCCUGCCUCACCAACUGGCCCCCACUUCCACUACCUCCGUGUGAUGCAUUAAACUGCGGCCCCACAACGUUCCUGGCAAUCUUAUCCAGCACAGGCACCGGAGGAUCAUCGUACGGCACGAGAGUGGAGAAAUACUGCUGUUCCGCCUCAGCGUCGGUGGGACGAAGUGUGGCAUACACAUGCAACUGCAAUGUACGGUUAUACAUUAGAAACGAAAAGAUUCAGGAAUGACACGAAACGUGAAUAACAAAAGUAACACGUGGUAUCCAUACCCACACGUUCUUGAAGAAUGCAUCGUACGUACGAUGCUGUGGUUGUUUUCGUGCGGACCACCUAAGCAAUCGUGGCAUUUGUUCCCCAACUCUCUGGCCAAAACGCUUCCCAAUCUCGGGAACUGCCUCGUACGCCCAAACAUGUUCCAUCAAGACAAACAGAAAAAAUAACUGAGAUGGUACGCACGAUGCUACAUCAUGGCAAACAAAUAAAGCAUGAUAUGCUAGUAUUUAAAACAUUGUGUACCUGCAUGGCAAUGGGAAAUCCAUGAAUAGUGUACGUAACCUCCUUCUCUUGCCUCCUCUUCGCCUUAAGAAAUUUCUUUGCCCAGAAACCCCGAAAUCCGUGCAGCAAACGCCGAUAGCCGACUCUACCCCAAGUGUAGGCAAAAAAGAUAUCUAGGUCGUCAACAAUAGAUAGUGUACGCAAAUCAAUUCCGACGUUAUUAUCAGGGGCAUUGAAAACUCCUUCGACUAUUAGCACGAGCCCUGGCUUGUAGCGGUCGGCUCGGGCCGUCGAAUGUCGGCCAAUAGUAGUUUGGAGUUGUGCUAACGAUAUUUCUCCAUGGAUUUGAAGUAUCUCUCCUUCAGCCUUCUCCUCUCCAGCACUCGAUCGAACUCAUCACCCUCCGGGAAUACACCGCAUCUUAACCCCGUCACAAGGGUGUAUUCCUGUAGACCGAAUCUCAUCAUGUUGCCUUGCACAUUGAACUAGAGCUCGUUAACCUUGUCAGUGCAAAUGGUUCUGAACACGAGCUGCUGGAUGAGCUGGGCAGAGAAUUGAAUCUCUGCAACCUCGGCUAGAUACCCAAAUGGGGAGUUUCGAAACUCGUCACGCUGUCGGUCAUCGAAAACGUCCAUCACUGUCUUCACAUACUUCAAGUUGCUCCUCUGUGAAAUGUGGGCCCGCAACCUUGCCUCCUCUAGAAAACAAUAAUCAAACUCCAUCAGUCCUGUGUCCUGCAAGAUGCAUUCAUAAAACUCACUCGGGUUACUGGAUAAACUUAAAGAUAUUGUAUCAUAAGUAGCAGUUUAAUGAAACACACUAAGGCAUGGACACACUCAACUGUCGAGAAAAACUGACUACAACCGUCGGUACCGACAGAUGAUCUGUCGAGAUCUGCCUAUACCGACAGUUGAUGUCCAAACAUGCAAGAAGGCUGGCCUAACUGUCGAGAAAACUUGAGCUCUACUGUCGGGAACGACAGUUCAGUGGGAGGCAUUGAACUUGUUAUUGUUGAGAUAAAAAUUACGUAACUUAAUCACUACUACCACAUAAUAUUAAAGCAAAUAUUUGAAUGGAUUGGGGCCCCAAUAAUGCAUGUAAACAAAUGAUUGACAGUCCAGUGGGAGGCAUUGAACUUGUUAUUGCUGAGAUAAAAAUGACGUAACUUAAUCACUAUUACCACAUAAUAUUAAAGCAAAUAUUUGAAUGGAUUGAGGCCCCAAUAAUGCAUGUAAACAAAUGAUUGAAAAUGAUUGAUGUAUUAUACAAGCUUUAGCAUUCAGUGAUUGGAAUAUAAAUAAUGGAAACGUGAUAUUGAUAAGCAGAAUAGUUAACAAACAUUAGACCUUAUUACAAUGUGCCUAAUGCCCAGCAACACACCUAAAACUCUACCGUUAUAUAACGGUAUCCUAUGGCAUUAUAUUACAGUGUUGUCUAAGUCUAAGGAAAUAUAAAAUUGGAAUAAACUGUGAACAGAGAUCUUUGAGAUCCAUGUUCACAGUCACAGCUUACCAGAAAGAAGAGGGAAAAAAGAAAAAGAUAACAGAAGUAGGUCAGACAAAUGAUGAGAAAGAUAAACUAAAUAAGUAUUCCCAACUCCACUGCUCUUCACAGUUCAAUAUAAAAGACUACAAAUGCCUCUUACCCUAAAAUUUAUUAACUGGGUGGGGCGUGGGAAGCAUGUUAAAAGUCCCGGUUACAUGGGAGUUUUUGUCACAAUGCUUCUUCGAUUUUCAGAUUAUGAAAUUCCAACCUGCAUAUGGCAGCAAGAUGCAAUUCAAAUCGACCUGCAAUCCCCAAUGGUGGUAAUCAUACGUCUGAAAUAAUCCUGAACAAAGUUUUUUAAUCCACAGCUUCCAUUUUCAUUUCGUAUGGUGUGACAAUUAUACUCCGCCAAAAUCAACACAUUGAUAUGUCUAUAUGAAGUACACAUGUCAUCGUACGCUCAAUAAGAAUCAUACUGACUAUAACUAGAUCGUUAGAUUAGGAUUUUAAAGCAAUUACACGGAGUAGACCACAAUCUAAAGAAAAAAGAAACUGAAACGGAGGUCAAUACUUUGAUUGCGUGUUGAAUCUUUCCACCAGAAGGUGAUAUGAUAAAACGAAUGUGUCAACCAGAAGAAGAAUCCACAUUAGAUGGUAAUAUUACAGACAACUACACAUCUCAAUGAAAUUCCAUGUAUCUGACAUAGUUUCUAAUAGAAACAACUCCACCCUACUGAGACGAAAUUGUAACUCCACAUGACAAUAUAUUUAUUUUCUCCACUUAUCUACAUCUCCCAUUCAUGUGAUAUUGCGCCCCCAAGGGAUCUACUUUGGUCACCACAAUCGAGACAAACAUUCAAAUGAGCCUUGCUAUCAUAUGGUAUCCAAAAUGGAGGAAUAUUAUGUAGGACUACUUCGGGAUCUAUCAACUACAAUUUUAAAUUUUUACUUCUAAUAUGGAAGCAUAAAAUGAGGAACUUCACGGUUCAUUAAUUUUAUGGCUGAGAUGACUUGGAAAAUGUGGGUUUUCAGAUACACAGCUGAAGGUUUGGAGCUUCAGGAGGAAAUGGCUAAAAAAAAAAAUGGUUCAACAGGCUGUUCUAGGUGUUGUGUUAAACAAUACCCUAGAAGAUAACCAUUCAGUUAGUGAGGUUUCACGGUGUCUAAGGGAUUAGGAAAAAUCCGGGCAUCUCAAAAAUAGUUGGGUUGAAAACACAUGACACGAUCCACAUGGAAUCAAAAGCUCAGAAAUGUUUAAGUACACUAAACAACUAAAUUGAAGAAUGGCACGAGUAAUUCUUAGAGUUCGACCCCUACCAUCCAACUAGGACGGACUUUGAGCCAUACACAAGUGGAGGAAAACACAAAAAUAAGAAAUACCAAGCACAAGCUUCUCUGACAUUCCAAAAACUUCACCAAUUCACACACUUUUUAGGACAACAGUAUUAUCAUGAACUGUGAAAUAUCUAGAAAGUACACCAUUGCUGAGCUUAAGAAGACAGUAACAACUAUAUCAUGAUAAAGACUACGAACGGUACAAAAUUUGCUAGGAAAACAGCAAGAAAUUGUACAGAUAAAAUACUUGUAUGCAUAACAUUACAAGUCAAAAGGCAUCUUGCAAGAGGAGGCCGCCAGCAAUUGAAUUCAGAUUCAAUGAUAAUUUUCACUAACGAAAAUAAAAAAAAAAAAUUACUUCUUCAAAGGAAAUAAAAUGUGCAUUUCAAAAAGCAAUCUGCACCUUCUACUUGUUCAACAAUUGCAUAAUGAAAGAAAUAUGGCUGCAUCCUACUAUUGCCCAACAAAGAGGAACAAAACUUGAAAUUACAAUGGGAAGUCAGAAGAUGAGUGGAUUUACCUUCGCCUUUGUUCGGUUUCUCUGGCAGUCGCAAGGGAGAAGACGACCUCGACGUUGUGGUCAGCUUCGGGCGAUUCGAGUGACAAUGGGAGUGAUUUUGACUCAGCUUCGGGCGAUUCGACGGCCACUGGGAGUGAUUUCGACGUUGACGAUCGUCGUCCAAGGCUGUGACUGUGUCGGCGACUGCAGAGAGAGGGCAGAGAGAGGGUAGGCGAUUGCAGAGAGUUUCGACGUUGUUUUGGGUGAGAGGCGACGUUUGGCUUUCUUCCUUCAUCUCGCUUUUUUUUUCUUUAUUUUUCUUCUCCAAACACUGCCUAGUCAAAUCUACAAUUAAUGCAAAACCUGUAAGGUAUUACAUUUAUGCAGAGGGGUAAAUUAGUCCAAAACUUUCAUAAUUUGCCAUAUUUGUAAUGUCAGAAAAAGGAUGACAUUUGUGUAAGUAAAAAUCAAUAUUUUGACAUGCGGUGUAAUUUCCACUAAUAGUUUCAGCCUUUCUCUCAAUUAUUGUUCCCCUACAAUAAUAGUUCAAGGACAACUCAUGAAUUCGAUUGGCCCACAGAUGCAAAAAAUUACGUGAAUUAUUGUGCGUAGAAAAUGAAGUUUCCUUCAGCAUUUCUCUCAAUUAUUGUCCCCCUACAAUAAAGUUCCGUUUAAUUGCAAAGAUAGAAUAUUGGUGAAAAGAAAACGAAUUUCAAUGAAUUGAAUUGCUUGGAAAUUGUUAUUUAUUAUGUUUGAUUAGUAUAAUUUUUCACGUGAAAAAUAUUGAAGUAAAAGUAUUUUUUUUUGUAUUCGUUUGACUUUGUUUUACAUGAAAAUUGUCAAUUAAAGUAAUAGAAUUUACUAGUAAUGGGGGUGAAAUUUAUUUCCAUUGCCAAAAAAUUCAAGAAAAUCAUCUAUCUUUUGGUAUUCGUUUAACUUUAUUUUACAUAAAAAUUGUCCAUUAAUUUUUUUUACAAUUAUGGACAACAAUCGUACUGAUAACGUAUUAUAAAAGUAAAAAAAAAAAUAAAAGAAGAAAAAUUGACUCAAAACUCAAGUACAUAUUUUAUUGAGAAUAAAGACCCGUAUUUAUAGGAUUCAAAAUGAGAGUGAUGUGAUCCAUGGCACGAAGGCAAGUCCAAAGAAGGAUCCAUUGAUGUUGAAGAAAGGCCUAUGACUAGGUCAUAAAUGAAGAGGGUUAAACAAUGUGACUAUUUGCUCAAGACUCGUGUUGGACUCAGGCGAAGACACGAGGUGCAUCAACUUGGUUCGAGCAACGGACGGAGGACCUGAAAAAUUCAACUAUACGAUCACAUAGUUUAAAUAGGCAUAUGUUUGCAUGCUUCAUUAUUGAGACCAUUGUGUAGGCUGAGAGAUGUUUUAUGCGAUCACAUCACUUAGCACUAAACGAUCACAUAGAGUAGUCUAGACGCAAAAUUUUCCAAAAGUUGUGAAAUCUCCUAACUUAGUUAAAACACCAUACAUUUUGUAUCUUUUGUAAUCUUUCGAAUUUUAGUUUGUUUUAACUAGGUUUACAUGAGUGCUUUAUAUAUAAAACUCAUUAUUUUCAUUGUAGAACAAUUUUUAAACAAACAAUUUGAUUUAUUUCUUAUGGCGUUCAAACAAUUCAAGUGAGAUUCUUGAACAUUGUACUCACCGGGUAAAUGUAUUUUCAGCAAUUGUGUUGAUUCUUUAGUUCAAUAUUUUCGGAUCAAACUUUAAAUAUUGAUUUUUAGCUUUAUUGGGUUUGAAUCAAUCUAGUGUUCGUAGCUACUAUUGCUACGUGAGUUCGUAUCAAAGAGUUACUAUUGAAAUGAAAUAAACUUUUUAAACUAGAUAAGAUUUAUCUAUGCAUGAUGAUAAGACUACAUAAUCAACGAUGUCUAUCUUAUAGUUUUACAGCAAAAUCUUGUACGUUGAAGGGUCUCAAUCUUUAAUUCAUCUUAUUGUUUAAAACGUGUACUAUUUGAAAAGAAGAUAAAUGUCACAUUUUUACAUGUUGGCAUUUUAAAACUUUAGUUGAAAAAUAAAUUUAUUAAUUAAAUAUAUUUUGAUAUUUAAUAUGGGAACAUUAACGUGAGAAGUAAUUUAUUUUACAAAUUCCGAUAAACUAUCUUCUUCAACUACUAUUUUGGGUGCCAAAAUGCACUUUCAAUUAAUUCAAUGAGAACUUCACUUAGCUAUGGCUACAGUAAUUUGAGUAUGUGAAUUGUGUUCACAAAUGGAUUUGGAAGUCUACGAGUCUCCGCGUGAAUUGAGCCGGAGACUUGCUACUUUAAGACGUAAAUGUUAUAUGGUCUAUUUCGUAGGUGGUAAAGAAGAAAGAGAUUAUAGAUUGACUUGGAUAAACUAAUCGAGGAAAAGGCUUAGAACGAAUUCAUCCAAAGUUACAUUAAAAAAAAAACCUUUUCCGCUAGUUUUAAUUUGGAGAUUUUUCAUAGAUGUCACUAAAUUUAAAAAUCUAUCAGGAUUUGUCACUUCUACUAAUGGUACUAAAAAAUGUCACUUGUGGUGGAGGAAAUGGUGGCAGAUAGCUGCCUGACUUUGCCAUUUUUUUGAAAGGCCUUUGACCUAAAAAAUCUCAUUAAAAAAAAAACUAAAAAUGUAAAUAAUACCCAAAGGGUCGAAAAUACCCCCAAAUAAAGAGAAGAGAAGAGGAAAGAAAGAGAAAACUAAGAGAAGAGAAAGAAAAAUCUCAUCACGAAUGCCAUCUCCAGACUACUCAGACCGGAUCGACUUUGACCAUUGCCGGAGAUCGCCAUUUCUCAAAUAUUAGAUUUGUUUCUUUGUAGUUUACUCAUCAUUAAGGUCUAACAUAUGUGGGAAUUUUAAUGUUUGAGUUUAAUACAUAAAAAUUUGAAUAUGUUAAAUUAUGAGUUUAAUACAAAUUUUUAUAAUUAAAAUAGAAGGAAAAGUCGAAUUUGAGGUUGAAUUGGUUAAGAAAAGUGAAAAAAUGGAACUGAGCUUACCGAAAAUAGAGUUUUCAGAUGAUUCAGGCGGCAACGAUGUCACUGUCUGGAUCCAGACGACCCAGAAGGCAGCCAUCUGGAUCCAGAUGACCCAGACGGGGGCCAGCAGUCUGGAUCCAGACGGCCUAACCGUUUGGGCCGUCUGGAUUGGCCCGUGCCAACCAUUUUUUUUAAAUAUUGAAUUUAAUUGUUUAUAAAUAUUUCAUAAAUUAUGUAAAAUUGCUUAUUUAAGUAAUAUGAUUAAUUUUUUUUAUUUCAUUUUAUUUAAAAUAUAAAUAAUAUAAAUAAUAAAAUAAAUAUAAUAAAGAAUUGAAUAUUCAAUAAACAAUUAAAAUAAAUAAGAAAUUAUUAUAAAUAAUCAAAUGAAGUACAUAAAUAUGAAAUAAACAAUUAAAAUAAGUAAUUAAAUAUAAAACAAACAAUAUACAUAACCAAUUAAAAUAAUUAAUGAAACAUUGAAAUAAAAAAUUAAAUUAAAUAUUAAAUAAAUAAGUUAAUAAACAAAUAUUUAAUUUAAUUAUUUUAUUUAAAAUUUUAAGUAAUUACUUUAAUUGUUUAUGUAUAUUAUUUGUUUAACAUAUAAUUAUUUAUUUUAUAGUUUAUUUGUUUAUUUAAAUAUUUCAUGAAUUAUGUUAAUUAUUUAUGUAUUUUGUGUAUUUAAGUAAAAAAUAAAUAACUAAUUGAAAUAAUAAACUAAUUGAAAUGAUAAAUAACUAAUUGAAAUAAAUUCAAUAAAGAAGUAAAUUAAAUAUUAAUUAAGCAAUAAAAAUAAUUAAUUAACAUAAAUAACAAAUAAAUAUAAAUAAUAAAAAUAGUUUAAAUAAGUAAUUAAAUAUUAACCAAACAAUUGAAAUAAAUAAUUAUCAUUUAAAUAUUAAAUAAAUAAUUUAAAUGAACUAUAAAUAUAAAAAAAAAGUCAUUUAAAUAAUUAAUUAAACAAUUGAAAUAAUUAAUUAACAUUUAAGUAUUAAAUAAAUAAUCUAAAUGAACCAUAAAUGUAAAUAAUAAUAAAAAUAAGUAAUUAAAUAUUAAAUAAACAAUAGAAAUAAAUAAUUAAAUAUUAAAUAUUAAAUAAAUAAUUUAAACGAAAAAUAAAUAUAAAAAAUAAAAAAUAAGUAAUUUAAAUAAGUAAUUAGACAGUUGAAAUAAAUAAUUAACAUUUAAGUAUUAAAUAAAUAAUUUAAAUGAACCAUAAAUAUAAAUAAUAAUAAUAAUAAGUAAUUAAAUAUUAAAUAAACAAUUGAAAUAAACAAUUAAACAUUCAAUUAACAAUUAAAAUAAAUAUUAAAUAAAAAAUUAAAAUAAAUAAUUUAAAUACGCAUUUAAAUAUUGAAUAAAUAAUUUAAAUGGACAAUUUAAAUAAAUAAUUAACAAUUAAAUAUUAUUUAAAUAAGUAAAAUAACAAUGACGCGGCUAGGAGACACAAUCAGGGAAUGCGACGAUAUGCCUGACAAGUUGAAGUUGGGGAUGGUGUUUAUACUGUAGAGAGCAUAAUGAGGUGUUAUCACAAGAAAACGUUGAUCGAUGUAUUUCAUUUGGAGGUUGUUGAUGAUAUUGACACAUUCAACAACUAUUUAUGGGAACAGAGCUGAUAGUUAUCAGCUCUUCUCGACAAUCCUGAGGUACGUAUUAUUCAUUUGUGAUUUUAUGUUGUACGUCAUUUCGAAAUCUCCAUGCAGGGUCAUUGACUCGAUGAAAAUGUUAAUAUGUCGCUUGAAGUGUUUACUGAGCUGACACUGUUGAUCGAGGAGGAGGGGCAUAGUCAUAUCCGAGGAGAUGCAGGCGAUGACGGUCUCAGAUAGUGAGAGAGAGGAUGACGAAAAUGGUGACAGGGAGGGUAGAGAUGGAGGGGUGGUAAUGUACACAUAUGUUUCGUUAAAAUUGUUAUGGAUGUUAGUGGGGAUGAGAGAGGUGUCGGUUGAGGAGACGAAAUAAUUGUGUUUAUGAAAUAAUUGUUUUUUUUUUAAAUUUAUGAAAUAAUAUGUAAAAUUUAUUUAAAUAAAAAUGAAAUAUUAAAUACAUAAUAUACACAACCAACUAAGAUAAUUUAAAAAUGAAAUAUCUAAAUAAAAUAAAAUUAAAUAUCAUUUUUUAUUUAAUUAAGUGAAUAAAUAAAUAAUUAAACAAAGUAAUUAAAUAUUAAAUAAAAAAUAUACAUAAAUAUGCUAGAGAAGACCCCCUAACUUGACAGAUAAUAUUGCAAGUUCGGAUGACGUGACAAUUAUGCCGGAAAAGGCAAUGGAAGUGACACCAUGUAAGAAACAUGUUAUUGAUGUGUCAGAGCAAAUUUUUAGCAAGAAAACUAGAUUGCUGUCACAACACAUUAUUUUUUCGUACACGAUCGAGGCAAAGAAGAGAACAUUCGUUGACGGUACGUUGCCUAACCUCUUUCGUGAAAUCGACCCGAGGCGAUUGUGGAAAUUUCGCAUUGAUGUUAAGGCUGUAAAUGGAUCGGAUCUGCUCAAAUUCGAUCCGAUUCGUUAAGAAUAAUUAUCCUAUUCGAUCCGAUCCAAUAAUCCGACAACUAUUUGAAUGUUAAAAAUCCAUAUCCGAUUAACUAUGUUAUCGGAUAUCCGAUCCAAAAUUGAAAAAUUAGAAAAAUAAAGAUUUUAUUUAAUUUUUUCAUUGAAAAUCGUAGCCUCAACAAGAUUUUAAUUAUUUAUUUAUUUUAAAAAAUAUUUGAACCAUUUUGACGGGCUCAUUUAUUAUCUUACAAGGCCCAAAUCAAAAAUUUUUUUUUUAAUCCAAGUGAUGCUCUUUUAACUCCUUUUUAAAUGAGACUCCUCUUAGAAUGUUUUAGUGAUAUCUGAUCUGAUUGACCUAUAUUCGUAUUUGAUUCAUUUAGUUAAUGGAUUCGAAUCUCGAUUGUGUUAUUGGAUUUAGACCCUAAAUCUAUCUCCAAUUAAUUUCAUCGGAGUCGGAUCAUAAUCCAAUCUAUUGAUUCAUUUAGUUAAUGGAUUAUUGAAUUCGAAUCUCGAUUGGGUUAUCGAAUUGAGACCCUAAAUCCAUCUCCGAUUAAUUUCAUUGGAUUCGUAUCGAAUUCGGAUCAAAAUCCAAUACAUUAAUUCAUUUAAUUAACAUAUUAUCGAAUUUAAAUAUCGAUUGAGUUAUCGGAUUGAGACCUUAAAUCCAUCUCCCAUUAAUUUCAUCGGAUUCGGAUCAAAAUCCAAUCCAUUGAUUCAUUUAGUUAACGAAUUAUCGAAUUCGAAUCUCGAUUGAGUUAUUAGAUUGAGACCUUAAAUCCAUCUCUCGUUAAUUUCAUUGGAUUUCGAUCAAAAUCCAAUCCAUUGACAACUCUAAUUGAAGUACAUUGAAUUUUUAGCAUCGAACGUGGUGUAGAGCUGAUAAACCAGAAACACACAUUAAAAUGUAAGCAUUUUUUUUAAAAGUAAGCGUUUUUUAUGUACAUUGUGAUCCGUAGUUGUAAUAAUUUAAAAUGUAAACAUUUUUUUAAAACGUUUGUAAUACUUUAGUUUUUAUGUAAUUGUAUAAUAAAUAACUAAUUACUCUUAAUUAUGUAUAUAACACACUAUAAAUAAAUAAAAAUUGAGUAAAUCAGUAACAUACUAUAAAUAAAAAGUAAAUACGAUUUAAAUAGAUAUUACAUAUUCAUCGGGUCAAUUUUCAUGUAAUCAAUAACACACUAUAAAUAGAGAAAUUGAGGAAAUCAAUAAUAUACUAUAAAUAGAGAGUACAUACGAUUUAAAUAGAUAUUACACAUCCGUUGCGUAGAAAGUAAUAUACGAUAAUCGGGAACUUCCCGCUCGACUUCAUUUGAUAGAUGAAAUAUAGUUUCUAUAUUUUUGAAUAAUGUUCGAUGUCUUGAAAACGUGCCUAAUGUUUGACUUCUAUCUCUAUUAGAUAUCCUCAAGCACCGUGUGAUUUAUGUUCUAACUAAAUAUUAAAUAAAUAAUAUACAUAACCAAUUUAAAAAUUAAUUUUUUAUUCAAAUUAGUGACUAAAAUAAUAAUUAAAUAAAGUAAUGAAAUAUUAAAUACAUAAUAUAUACAACCAAUUAAGAUAAUUUAUAAAUGAAAUAUCUAAAUAAGAAAUUAAAUUAAAUAUUAAUUUUUCAUUUAAUUAAGUGAUUAAAUAAAUUACUGACAAAGUAAUUAAAUAUUAAUAAAGAAUAUGCAUAAUUAAUUAAUGAAAUAUUUAAAUAAGAAAUUAAAAUAAAUAUUAAUUCUUUUAUUUAAAUAAGUGAUUAAAUAAAUAAUUAAACAAAGUAAUUAAACAGUAAAUAAAUAAUAUACAUAACUAAUUAAGACAAUUAAUUAAAGAAAUAUUUAAAUAAGAAAUUAAAAUAAAUAUCAAUUUUUUAUUUAAAUAAGUGAUUAAAGAAAUAAUUAAAUUAAUUAAUUAAAUAUUAAAUAAACAAUACACGAAACCAAUUAAGGUAAUUAAUAAAGAAAUAUUUAAACGAGAAACCAAAUUAAAUAUUAUUUUUUAUUUGAGUAAGUGUUAAAAUAAAUAAUUAAUUAAGUGCUAAUUAAGAUAAUUAAUUAAUGAAAUAUUUAAAAGAGAAACCAAAUUAAAUAUUAAUUUUUUAUUUGAGUAAGUGACUAAAAUAAAUAAUUAAAUAAUUAAUUAAAUAUACAUAAUCAAUUAAGAUAAUUAAUUAAUGAAAUAUUUAAACAAGAAAUCAAAUUAAAUAUUAAUUUUUUAUAUAAACAAGUAAUUAAAUAAAUAAUUAAAUAAAGUGAUAAAUAUUAAAUAAAUAAUAUACAUAACCGAUUAAGAUAAAUAAUUAAUGAAAUAUUUAAACAAGAGAGUAAAUUAAUAUUAAAUUUUUUAUUUGAGUAAGUGUUUAAAAUAAAUAAUUAAAUAGAGUAAUUAAAUAUAAAGUGAAAAGUGUUUGGUUUUUAAAUUUGUAACUUAAGGGUACUUUGUCUUUUUAAACAAAAUUCGAUUUUUGUAAUUGUAUAAACUAUUUAAGGAUAUUUUUAUCUUUUGCUCAACAAAAGGCCAUUUUGAUUAUUGGCAAAAAAAUUUUGUUAAAGCAAAAAAAUGACUUAUUGACUUGCCCAAUCUUAGAAGUAUCCCCUUUGUGGUGUAUGACACGACCCGUCCCGAAUCACCCUAGUGGACUCGAAACGUGACAUGCGCCGAUGAUAGAUGCUUACUAGAUGUCAAAUCUAUCGCCAAGGCUGACUAUGAGUUAUUUCAAAAAAAUGCAAUAAAAUCAAGUGCUUGUAUAAAAUAUAAUGUGAUGGGCCCAAAAUAUUUUCUUUAUACUUCAUUAAUAUCAAUUAUAACACUCAACAUGUCAUGUGGUUCUUUUUCCGAAAUCAUUAGGCUCUUUCAACUAAAAAGAAUCAAUUUUCACCUGUAGGAAAAAUUGUGGGAAAAUAUAUGAGUUGAUAACUCAGUGAGUGGAGCAGUUCGAAAAUAAUUAUACUUUUUCAAUUUUACAUUUCUAUCCAAAAUGGAAUUCAUAUCAUUUAAUAAUUCUCAAAAUAACAUCAUAUAAUUAUAACAAAAGUGAAAUAUUCACAUAAGGUCAUAAAUUAUCAUCUCAAAAUCAUGAUAUAAACAUCAGCUAAUAACCAUGCUAUAAUCUCAUCAUAUCAAACGUGCUGAAAAAUCCACCAAAAAUGUACCCUCUGACUGAAAUAUGUAAUCCGCCCCUCGGGCUAAGAACUUUCGACACGGGCCUUUGGCCCCUCCGUGAACGAAAGUCGGUUUUAAAGACCUCUCAAAAUCAAUUCUAGAACACAGCCAAAAUCCCUCAGUGAACUAUAUGUACACGGUUGACCCUUCAUCUCCGGUCCAUGACUCCUCAGUGUAGUAUAGAACACGGCCAAGGCCACUCAGUGAACUAGAAGAAAUAUAUAAUCACGGGUACUUUUCUGGUCGAUCUCAAAAUCACAUUUCAUAUUCCAAUUCACAAUGCAACGUAUACAAUAUUUAAAAUCUCACAUGUAUCAUAAUAAAAGAUAUUUCCAUAAAAACCAUGUAAUUCGAACACAUAAUUGCAUAUAACUGCACAUACUUUAACAAUAAACUUAAUUUAUAAAUACUUUAAAAAUAUUUAUAUUUUUCCACUCACAGUACUAUAUUCGCAAAAUUAACCUAGUUUGUAAGCUGUUCUGAUGUCAGUGUCGUCGCCUGAAAUACGAUAUAAUUUUUAAAUAAAGAAUUAAUUACUUUAAAUAAUUUCAAUAAUUAAAUAGACGAUACUCAAACUUAAUCAUUUCACUUUUAAACAAUUUGCAUAGCCUAUUUAAUCACUAAAACUAGUUUUUCUUUCAUCUUACUCAGUUUCAUAGUUUAUUAUACUUAACCUCUUCAAUAAAAUUGAAUUUAAUCUAAUAAUCUAACAACUAUAAAAUCAAACAUAACUUGACAAUAAGUAACUUUUUACUUACCUUUUAAAAUUGAGGAAUUCAAGCCUAAUAAUAUAGACCACUUAUUUUUUAACAACAUAUGCGAACUUUCCUAUUUUUUUCGUUCCUUUCCUUUUUUUUCUUCCACUUUUUCCUUCAUUUUUCUCCCUGCUCUCGUUUUCUAUUAGUGUGUGUUGUGUGUGCGCUUGUGGGACAAAAUGAAUAGAUUUUAAACAUGGGUGGAUUGAUAUAAAUCAAUCCACUGCCUCUCUUUUUUUUUUUUCCUUUUGUUUUGUAUGACAUGUUUGACUUUUCUUCUUCUUCUAUUUUUUUUCAUAACCAAAUUAAGGUAUUAUAAAACUCACUCCCUUAAAAGAAUUUCAUCCUUGAAAUUCAAUUAGCUAGAGGUCCAACACGUAAGGAUAUAGAACUCACAUUUAACUUUCGCUACCCAUAAUGCCUCUUUUAUUGAAUGAUUUCUCCAACAAACAUUUAGUACCAAAAUUUAAUAUUUCCCAUCAUAGUUUUAAUAACUUCCUAAGAGCCAAUAUAUGAUAUUCUCGUCUUUUCCUUUUCCCAACUCUUAGGAAAACUUAAUUAUUUUCCAAUUUAAAGUUUAAAAUACUACUUUUCAUGUUCUCCAAAUCUUCACCUUACGCUAUAAUUUAAACUAUUCUCUAAUCACAUUAUUUUUCUAUAACAAUGGUUACAUAUUAAGAUCCAACAACAUUCUUUCGCUCAUUUCGUUAUACGUCCUUGGAAUAUUUCAAUAUUAUAUAUAACCUCAAUUACCGUCACUUAUGCCUAUUUUAUAUAUGUCAAUUCCAUGAAAAUAAAUAAUUAUCCAAGUCUCCUUUAAUUAACCAACCAUAGUUGAUAGCCUCUCUUUCGAACUUGUUUUCAUAGUGUCUAACAUUUUAUCAAAAGAAGAUGCACAACGUAAUUUAAUUAUAUAACUUCUUACAACUAACCAAAGAUGAAUACUCCAGUUCCAUAAUGUAAUUAGCAAUAUUCUCUAAAUAUAAUUUUGUAAGUCUAUCCUAUGAACUGACUAUAUCAUUUAAAAAGAAUCUUGUAAUCUUUAUCAAUCUAUUCGCAAGGAUUUAGAUACUAUUUUGUCUCCAUUCCGUUUAUUUGGAAUAAACAAAAUAAAAAAAAUACUUUAACGGUAACUACCUCCAUUCUAAAUUGACAAUAUCUCCAAAAAUUCAACUGUUCAUGAUUUUCUAAAAUUCUAGUUACCCCCAACAAAACAAUUGAAAUAGUUCAAUAUGGUGUUCUUUUCCUUUAAUUUAUAUCACCAAAUGAUAAUAUAUACACAAUUUUCAUUUCCACCAUUUCGAAUAAAAUAUACAUUAAAGUCUGAUGAUUGAUAAAUAUUGAUAUUUCUCGCAAUGUGAUGACAAAAUCCCGAUAUAACGAACUCCAAAUCAUGUUUUAAUCAUGACUCUUCAACAAUCUAAAGUAUCAUCUAUAAUUUAUAAGUUUACUUCAGAAUACUUUCUAAACCUUAACAUAAAUCAUUAUCGUGAAUCAAUCACUUAUCAUCUUUAGAUAUAAGAGCAAAUAUUUCCUCAGAAUUUUUUAAUAGCAAAACUUUUGACAUUUCUAUAUCCAUAUAAAUUUUGUUCUUUCUUUCUAUGAAGAGAAAAUAAUAACAUUUAAUCAUGAAAAUCUAUGCUCUUAUUCCAUAAAUGGGUCGUUGAUCUAUCAUCACUGCAUAAUCCUUCUUGUAUAUCGCAUAAAGACCUUUAACUAAGAUUAUAACCCAAAGACACUGUCCCACAAUUGAAUAAAAUUUACAUUCAAUGAUCACCCUAAACAUCGAAUUAUUCGACAUAUCAUCCAUAUAUUCCAUAACAAAUAAAUCUCAAUAAAAAUGAAAUACUUUAUACGUGAAAUCCAAAAAUACAAUUGAACAUCACCCAAAAAUUACAUCACUAAAAAUUCAUUAAAUUUAUCUUAACCUCAAAAUUUAACUCAACACUUCCAAAUUUUAUGAAAUAUGACACAAUAAUCCAACGAAUGUCCUUAACGAAAUUAAUUAACUUAAUAACCAAAUCAAUCAUCACAUUAUUUUGCUAUAGAACAACCAUUACGUUCAUUUACAUACUCACCAUAUUAUAUUGUAAUCAUAUAACCUCAUCACAUACUUAUGGAUAUACCAUAUGCCUUCUAACUUUUAAUUACAUCAAUUUUUCUUAAGAUCACAAAAUAAUAAACUUCAUAUUUAUCAUGUGAACCUUUCACACCUCAAUAUACCACCAAAAUUUCAUAUGUUAAUUUUCUAAUCUAAAUAAAUUCCAACUCUACCAUUCUCUACUCGCCUUUUUAUUUUUCGAUUCACAAAAAUAUACCUAAAUACACAUAUCCAUUUAAUUAUAUUUCUUAAGCAACAAAUAAUCCCGCAAUCGAUAAUCAUAAUAAAGUUCAUCCAUAUUUUUCUCACAUUCCUUGUAAUCAAACCACUCAUAAAUAAUCAAAAUAAGUGGAAUUACAGUUAAUUUUCUCGAUGCCUAAAAUACACAAUAACACAUUGUCAUUUAUCAAUCAAUAAAUCAUCAUUUGUCUUUCAGAAUUUCUUAUCAUAUAGUAUAAAUAUACACCAUUGUAGUUUCUAUUAUUAUCCCAUAUAAGUGACCGCAAAUCACCACAAAAUUUUGAUUACGCCACUGAUCAUUUAGUUUCCCAAAAUAAUUAAAAUUCCUCACCUAAUUAUCACCAUUUACACAUAUAAUAUCGUUUUUACUGUUACUAUAGUACAAGCUAGAACUAGGGAUGUCCCAAGUGUAUAUUAAAAACCACGAAAUUCUACACAAAGAUUGGUACUUAAAUGGUUGUACCCUAUCACUUUGAAUGCCUAUACAUAAACAACCUGUAAAAUCAUUAAAAUCUAUUCAACUCUUAAUAGGUUAAAUACACCACAAUUUCAAACCAACAACUAAUAACUCUUUCCACCAAUCGGAUCAUUGCAACUAUCAUAUUUAUAUACUAGUCUUUUCAGGAUUUGUUAAAAAAAUAUUUUUCUAUCAUUUUUUGGUUCCAUACAUUGGAGCUAGAGAGCUUGUGAUUUCUGCCACCACGACAUGUGAACAUACCCACUGAACAUGCAUGAACCAUAAAAAUUUUUAAAAUCAUGUUCUGAUACCAUUUUGACACGACCCGUCCCGAAUCACCCUAGUGGACCCGAAACAUGACGUGCGCCGAUGAUAGAUGCUGACUAGAUGUCAAAUCUAUCACCAAGGCUGACUAUGAGUUAUUUCAAAAAAAAUGCAAUAAAAUCAAGUGCUUAUAUAAAAUAUAAUGUGAUGGGCCCAAAAUAUUUUCUUCAUGCUUCAUUAAUAUCAAUUAUAACACUCAACAUGUCGUGUGGCUUUCAUUCCGAAAUCAUUAGGCUCUUCCAGAUAAAAAGAUCAAUUUUCACCUGUAGGAAAAAUUGUGGGAAAAUAUAUGAGUUGAUGACUCAGUGAGUGGAGCAGUUCGAAAAUAAUUAUACUUUUUCAAUUUUACAUUUCUAACGAAAAUGGAAUUCAUAUCAUUUAAUAAUUCACAAGAUAAUAUCAUGUAAUUAUAACAAAAGUGAAAUAUUCACAUAAGGUCAUAAAUUUUCAUCUCAAAAUCAUGAUAUAAACAUCAGCUAAUAACCAUGCUAUAAUUCAUCACAUCAAACGUGCUGAAAAAUCCACCAAAAAUGUAUUCUCUGACUGAAAUAUGUAAUCCGUCCCUUGAGUUGAGAACUUUCGCCACGGGCCUUUGGCCCCUCCGUGAACGAAAGUCGGUCUCAAAGACCUCUCAAAAUCAAUUCUAGAAUACGGCCAAGGUCCCUUAGUGAACUAUAUGUACACGGUCGAGACCCCUUCAUCCCCGGUCCAUGACUCCUCAGUGUAGUAUAGAACACGGCCAAGGCCACUCAGUGAAUUCGAAGAAAUAUAUAAUCACUGGUACUUUUCUGGUCGAUCUCAAAAUCACAUCUCAUAUUCCACUUCACAAUGUAAUGUAUACAAUCUUUGAAAUUCCACAUGUAUCAUAAUAAAAGAUAUUUCCAUAAAAACCAUGUAAUUCAAACACAUAAUUGCAUAUAACUGCACAUACUUUAACAAUAAAUUUAAUUUAUAAAUACUUUAAAAAUAUUUAUAUUUUUCCACUCACAUUACUUUGUUCGCAAAAUCAACCCAGUUGGUAAGCUGUUCUGAUGUCAGUGUCGUCGCCUGAAAUACGAUAUAAUUUUUAAAUAAAGAAUUAAUUAUUUUAAAUAAUUUUAAUAAUUAAAUAGACGAUACUCAAACAUAAUCAUUUCACGUUGAAACGAUUUUCAUAGUCUAGUUAAUCACUAAAACUAGUUUUUCUUUCAUCUUACUCAAUUUCAUAGUUUAUUAUACUUAACCCCUUCAAUAAAAUUGAAUUUAAUCUAACAAUCUAACAACUAUAAAAUCAAACAUAACUUGACAAUAAGUAACUUUUUACUUACCUUUUAAAAUUGAGGAAUUCAAGCCUAAUAAUGUAGACCACUUAUUUUUUAACAACAUAGGCGAACUUUCCUAUUUUUUUCGUUCCUUUCCUUUCCUUUUUUUUUCUUCCACUUUUCCCUUCAUUUUUCUCCCUGCUCUCGUUUUCUAUUAGUGUGUGUUGUGUGUGCGCUUGUGGGACAAAAUGAAUAGAUUUUAAACAUGGGUGGAUUAAUAAAUCAAUCCACCGCCUCUCUCUCUCUUUUUUUUUUUUGUUUUUUAUUUUUUUUAUUUUGUUUUGUAUGACAUGUUUGACUUUUCUUCUUCUUCUAUUUUUUUUUUCAUAACAAAAUUAAGGUAUUACAGUGUAAGAGGUCCAAAUUAUCCAUAGUGAUACCUUUUUAGGUUAGACACAUUCCUACUUCAAACAUCACGACUUGAGACAAUUUGAGCUAGAAGUUCUUACAUAAAUAUUUCCCACAAAAAAAAAUUGUCAAGUUGAGAGAUGAGAUCACUACACUCUCACAACCUAACUCAGAUUGCUAUCAUGAAGUAUGAAAGAUAUAAAAAGGUUUGCUUUUACAAUGCCACAACAUGGGUUGUAAAAGUUGCUAUUAAGUCUAGAACUUAUACAAUAGCCUGAAUCCGACUAGUCGGUAGCACUGACUUUGCAUGUGAUGGGUUAGUUACAAGAAGGACAAUGGAUCAGAUGUAUCAAAUCACGGAGGAUCUAGCAUAAACCAAUAUAAUAUGGCCAACAAAAAAUCGGGCGAGAGUUGUAAGGAUGCAUGAUGUUGACAAUUGAUAGCUUUUUCAGCAAAGUUGCAGCACUAGCUAAAAGGUAGAUAAUUGGGCAACCAAUCAAGCAAUGAAUGCAGUACAAAGAGCUAGGCCGAGAUGUAAAUAUUGCAGGGGUAAUCAUGAAAAUAUGAAUUGUAAUCUGGGGAGUCCAUUUGUACAAUCAAUUGAGGAUGUGAAUUACAUAUAAAAUUUUCAAAGAUAACAUAAUAAUCCCCAUUCCAAUAAAUACAAUCUGAGUUGGAAAAAAUCACCCAAACUUCUCUUGGAGCAACUAUCAAUCUUCUCAAGGCACAACAUAUCAAAAUGCAUCACCAGGUUUUCAACAACGAGAAUAAAAACCCUCAUGAGAAGAAGUAUUGAGUAAAAUGGCAACAUCAACCAGCAUUUUCAAAAUGCCUGAAGUAUCAACUAAAUUCAUACAACAAAUUGAGAAAGAUUUUCAGGUUGAAGUGGCUGCUAUAAAGAAUUUUGAUACUCAGAUGAACAAAUAACUAAGACACUUUCAGAGAGACAACCAAGAGCCUAGUCUAGUGACUAUAAGACAAAUCCUAAGUAGCAGGUAAUGACAGUAUGAAAUAAUUGAGAAAUCGCCUAUGAAAGCACUAGCUUUAGUUCAGGCAAUUAUUAGGUGGAGUGGGGUUCAACUUCCAAAAAAUAUAUUUAAGAUGUAGGUAGUAUUAAAUGAAAAUGUACCUUCCAUAAAUGAGCAAGUGGACAAAUUUGAACAGUUGGCAAAAAUAGUUACAAAUCAAAAGUCAGUAAUCUACAGGCUAGGCAAUAGUUUCUAUCAGGACUUAUGUGCUUCCUACCCUAUUUCCUCAAAGAUUGUAAAAAAAGGGAGCUCAAAGAACAAUUUGAGAAGUUUUUGGACGUGCUAAGGAAACUCUACAUCAACAUACUGUAAAGGAAAUUAGGACUUGGAGAAGUAAAGGAAACAAUGGUGUCAUUGUAACUGGCUAAUGGAAGCAUCAAAUAUCCAAGAGGCAAGGUUUUGAUGUACUAAUUAAAGCUGGAAAGUUGAUAUUCUUGAUGGAUAAAGAUUGAAAUAUUCCAAUAAUCUUGAGUUGACCUUCCUAGCAAGCUGUCAAACUUGAUUAACAUGGAAAAAGGUGAGUUGACUUUGAGGGUGAGGGAUGAACAAGUAGUCUUUAAACUACACAAUCCAUCCAAACAACCAUCAGACCUUGAGGUGUGCAAUUGUAUUGAUGAAGAUGAUCCACGAAGUUUUCAGAAAAAGAAAACCUAAAGUUGGUGGAAUUCCCGAUAGACAUGAGAAUGGAGAGUUCUGGUUUAGAGAAAAAAAAUGAGGAUGGAAGACUAAAAAUUACAAGGAGUACAAGGAUGAAACCCCUCUAUUAGAACCACCAUAAGUAAUCAUGCUACAAAAUCUAGCUGAAGACUUUAAAUUAAGCACUUAUUGGAAGACACCCCUAUUCUUCUUUUUAUGGAUGGAAUGACUCAAUGUAAGUUUUUCAAAAUUUUCAAACAUCCCAUCAUAAGAAUUUGAUAACUCAUCAUAAGAACAUUUUUCAUUUUAUGCUUACCUCGUCUUCGAUUGCCAUGAAGUACAUGUUUGCAAUUUCGUCUUGACUAUAAUUUUCAUUUUUCUCCUCAUCGUCACUAUCAUCCCAUUUAGCUUGAAGCACCUUUUUCUUGAGAUUUUUCUUUUUGUUUUGGCACUCGAUUCUAUUGUGACCGAGCUUAUCACAAUCAUAACAAAUAAUCUUCUUGCUUCAUUCUUCGCCAUUUUUCUUCUUUUAAAAUCUUCGAUUAUUAGGAAGACCUUUCCAUUUUUUGACGAGAAAAAUCAUGUUCCAUUUUAUGUUUCUUUUUCAAUUUCUGAUUUUAAAGCAAUUUGUCGUUUGGGAGGCUCCUUUGAUUCUGCCUUGCUUUUUCUUGUUUUCUCCUUAAUCUCGACAUUAUUGAGCUCAUAGGUCAUUAAUGUACUGUAGAGCUCCUUCAAAAGAUAUGUAUUUAUAUCUUGGUACUCUCGAUCAACAUCCUCAAUAGGCUCCAUUCCUCCGAUAAAGACCUACACAUUUUGCUAACAAGCUCACCGUUAGUAAAUUUAAUAUCAAAACUUUAAGACCAUUUACAGUAUCAGUGAAACGUGUAAUCAUAUCAAAAAUAUGCUCAUCUAGUUUCAUUAAGAAAUUUUAAAAUUCUUUAACUAACAAAUUUAUUUUUGUUUCCUUAACCUUACUCGUGCCAAAAUGAGUGAUUUCAAGUGUAUGUCAAAUAUCAUAUGCCGAUGUGAAUAUUCGAUUAAAUUCAUUCAUAUUUAGUGUACAAUAAAGUGAUUCUUAGCCUUAACAUUUAAAGAUAAUUUUUUCUUCUCUUGUUCAUCAUAUACCUCCCUAAAUUUAGAAAAGUUUGAUCCGGUCUACCGUCUAUUUUAAUAGUCUUGGUAGGAAUAUAUGGACUGUAUUCAAUAACUUCUCAAAUAUUAUAAUCAAUUGAUUAAACAUAUAUCAUCAUCCUAACCUUCCAAUAAUUAUAGUGUGUGCCAUCAAAGGAGGGAUGUCGGUUUGUGGAGUGCCCCACAACAUUUUGAAAAACUUGGUUAGUCAUUACUUAAUAUUGUAAAAUCUUUUGAAAAUGAGUACCAAGCUCUGAUACCAAUUGAAAGCCCAAAAAAACUAACCAAGAGGGAGUGAAUUGGUUAUCGAAAUCUGUUUCAAAAAUAAAUGCUAAUUUAAGCAAUUAGCAAAUAAAUAAUAUAAAUAAAAUAGUAAGUGAAAGGAGUACAAGACUCAAACGAUGUCAUUUGGAGGUUCAAUCCAAACAAUGAUCUACUUCUCCGUUACCAAGCUUUUCGUCACGAGUAAGGCCUUUUUCACUAUUGUUGAUUGACUUAUGGUACAAUCCAACCCUUACAAUGCUUCCGAUGAGUUACAAUCCAACCCAUACAACGUUGAGCUUUUCGAGACCUCAACACGACCCACAAUCCAAAACAAGAAAAACGAAAUUACAAAUGAAAGCUUCUCUCUUAAUAAAUAAUAUGACCACAAUUAAGUAUCAAGAAAGAAGUAGGUACAACACUUAAAUAAAUUUCAAAGAGUAUAGCUCAAGUGUUGGAUGAAAAACUUUAAUUGAGAUAAAUGAUUUUUGCAAGUUUUGAUCACUUAAAAAUGUUUUUCAAGAAUUAGAUAAUUUGAUCUCUUAAAGAUUGAAAACUAAGGUAGAAAGGAUCAAUAAAAAUGUCUCACUUAAAUGCUCAAGCGUUGUUGUUAUAAAUGUGUAAGAAAAUGAGGUAUUUAUAGUGUUCAAACGGUAUGUCCAGUUGGGAUUCGGACGGAUAACUAGCUGUUUGAAAAACAGUCGAAAAAUCGACCGCUGGACGUUCGGAUGGGCACUUUUGCCCUCCGAACUUUUUCUUUCGUGACAAAUUUGUCCAUUUAGGUUCUAAAAAGAUUUUCUCAUUUAUUUUGUAUGGAUAAGUAUUUUUAUAAACUUUUAAUCAUUAAAACGAAAUUACUUAUUCUUUGAAAAUAAUUUUUGUGCGAGUUGAGAAAAUGUUUCCAUGUGUAAAAAUUUCUUGAGCUAUAGUCGAUACGGAAUAUUAAUGUGUCUUAUCUUUACAUUUAAGUUAAAAAUGCAUCUAUAGCUGAAGUCUUCAAUCUCUUCUUUAAUGUGCUUUUUGACACGAAGGCUCGAUUUCUGUCAAUACGUUCGUCAAUCUCUAAUUUGCUUCUAUGUUGAUCGUCAAGCUCCAAAAAUGUUCGUCCAUAUGCAUGAGUCUUGAUCUUGAAACUUGUAUCUUCAUUCUCUAUUGAUUUCACAAUAAUCACUAUCAACACUCAAAUUCAAUUUGUUAAAAUUAAACGCAAUUUGUUUGUAAUAAUCAAAACAAGAAGUCAAUCAUUAGGUCAAUAGUUAUCACAAAUAUGAGCUAGUCAUUAUUAAAUUACAGUUAGAAUAAUAAAUAAAACAUCGAAAAUGUCCCAACUACUUGUUGAAAUUAUCAAUUUGAAAUUUUUUUCUUGAUAAUAAAAUUUUAACUUUUUAUGAUUGCCAAAGUUUGGCAAUUUGUUUGCUUUCAUGUUAGCCAACCUUGGUUACAUUAAACCUUGCAUUAAAGAAUAAUCAGUUCCAAGACUAAUUUAAUAAUUCGUGGCCAUUUAUUUUUAAUAGAGUAAUGAGUCAUAUGAUAUUAAUGUAGGGAUGUAUUAAGAAAAAUGUAAGUAAAAUUUAUUGUUCUAACUAUAUUAACUACUCACCCGUCUCAUUUAUAUAGGCUGACUUUCUUAUUUUCUUGUCCCAUUUAUAUAGUCAUUUUUUAUUGAAAAAGUAUUUGUUUUGUUCAUUUACUAAUACUCUUAUUUAAUUUACCUUAUAAUAAAUUUCUUCUACUUAAUCUUAAAAUGGUACGGAUUUUAGUUUACCAUCUUGGAAUUAUCUAUAUAUAUACAUACACAUACUUUCCACUUCUUCUUGGAAACAUCGACAAAAAUACAUUUAAUCCUUGUUAUUUAUUCCUAGUUGUUGAUAAUUAAAUACAAAUAAACUAGGAAAAUUCUUUACAAAAACAUUUUUUCAAUGACAUUAAAUAAAAUUUCUUAAUCUGUUUGACAAACAAAAUUUAGGGAUGACAGUGGUUCGGUUUCUGUUCGAUUCGGCCAAAAUCAUCAUCGAACCUUCAAAUUUUUUGCUAUACUAUAACCACGUAAAUCCGUUCAAUUUGGUUCGGUAUGUAUCUCUGUUCGGCUUGGUUCGGUUUGGUUAAUAACCACGAAAAUAAAUUAUUUUUUAUAGGUUCAUCCGUCAAAUUGAUAUAAAACAAUUUAUGAAAAGAGAAUCAAUGAAAACAAAAACACAAUAUUCCAAACGAAAAUCCAAACAUUAUUCCAAAUUUCAAUUGCAAAAUACAAAUUUAACAAACAAUAUUAUGAAUAUAAUAAUACUAAACUUUUCCUUCAUUCUUGAUUCUUGUGCAUUGUAGUUACUUAAUUCAUGUUCAAUAAUUCAAAAGCUUCAUAACUCAUAUUCAAUCUUCAUUCUUCCCCACAACUCUUACUAGCAUAUGUCAGCACUCAAAAUUGAUCCUGUAUAAUAAAUAAAAAAUGUAAAUAGAGAAUACAGCGAUACUAACUAAUCAAGAAUGGUUUUAACUAAGAUUUAAAUAAAAAAAUGUACAUUUUCGUCAACUUCAUCCUCACUAAACCUUGCUAUCCCUGAUAAAAGAAUGGUUUUUUUAAGCGAGUAAUCGGUUUGGUUUCAGUUCGACGGCAUAAAUAUCAUACCCGUACCACCACGAACCAAUUCAUUAAAAUCAAAUACCAUAUCCGCCCCCAUUGCACCAUCGGUUCGGUUAACCGCGAUUUUCGAUUUUAAUGGUUCAAAUUAUCAUCCCUAACAAAAUUAGUCUAUAUAAAUGAGGCGGAGGGGAAUAAUUUUUUUAUCCAUAUAAAAAUGGAAUCUAACAUCUUUAUGGAACAGACAAAGUACAAAGUAUAUUUUUCUUAUUUCUUUUUAUUUUUUUCCACCUUCUUGACUUAUAUGGGAACAUAAAAAUAAGGGAAAAUUUCAGUCGAGGUACCAAACCCUUCGUUUAUUAGCAGACUUUGCCCAAACCUUUCAUUUGUACCAUCGGAGGUACCAAACCUUUCAAAUGGAUGGAAACUGUUAGUAAAUCCGUUAGUUGACCUAGAGUCAACAUUUUGACCAAAAUUUGACUACAUUUUAAAGGGUAAAAUGGUAAAAUUAUAUUUUCUAUAACAAACAAUUAAAAUAAAAACCUAAAACACAAAUACACUUCAUCUUCUCAACAUACCCUGCACACACCCACCCCCCAAAACCAAAACCAGGAAUCGGAACCACCACUGCCACUCACUCCACCGCCGAAAAUCACCACCAAAACACCAUGGAAAAUAAUUUUCUCUUCCAUUCACUGUUUUCAAUAAAACCAGUUUGUAAAUGUGUAAAUUUCUCUAUCCAUUUCUGUAUAAUGAGGUCAUCUUCAAUUCUUAUCCUUCAAUUCUAUACAAUCUUGUUAAUCGACUCACCACUUCUAUGCUACAGGUUUUAAGUACUUAGAAAUGCGAGUACAAAAACUUUGCCCACUGCUUAACCCCUCCCGGUACUGAUUCUCCGAUCGGUACCCUACACUUGCACAGAAUUUAUGCAACUAUUGAUUGGCAAAUCUCGCAAAUGAUGAGAAGCAUAUACUGAGUUUUCGUGUUGUGGGUAGGGAGCAUAAGUUGAAUAAUUAUCGAUCUGUAAUGUCUACUUGUGAGAUUGUUGCAUUUCUGCAUUUUUGGUCGUUCAAGCUGGUGGAUCUGGUGAUGGCAAAUUUCCAAUUACUGCCAUUUUGCUCAAUUUGUGAGGAUGUGAUGUAUUUGUUUGGAACAAUGAUGUAGAAGGAAAUUAUUUGUCAUGGCAAUGGUGGCAUUUCAGGCUCGGUGGUCGUGGAGGUGAUUGGUGGUCACCAACGCAGUGGAGGUGGAUGUGGGUUGGAUUUUGGUUGAUUUGAUAGGGUUAGAUGAAGGCAGGGGAAGACGGGUGGUGGGAAGAAGAUGACUAAUUUUAUUUCAUUUUUUGGUUUUUUUAAUUUAAUUAAUUUAAUUGGUUUUUAUAAAAAAUAUAAUUUUACCAUUUUACCCUUUAAAAUGCAGUCAAAAUUUAGUCAAAAUGUUGACUCUAGGUCAACUAACGGAUUUACUAAUGGUAUCCAUCCAUUUGGAUUUUGGAUGCGGAUUUUUGAAAUGUUUGGUACCUCUGAUGGCACAAAUGAAAGAUUUGGGUAAAAUAUGCUAAUGAACGAAAGAUUUGAUAUCUUGGCCGGAAUUUUUCCUAAAAAUAAAAUAAAAUUGUGCAUUUACAAGUAAUUUGGAUUGAAACAUUGGUUUUGAUCGACAAGAAAUCUGUUGUGACCACGAACUGGAAAAUAAUUCAAGGGUUUCCCACAAUAUUAUACACCUUUUUGGUGGCAGGAAAUACACGCUAUUCAUAUAGCAAGAGAAUGGAAUAAUUUGGACUGCUGAUUAGGCCAACUUGAAAAUUCUUAAUUAAAUUAUUAGUCUCCCAACAUUGGAGGGACCCACGAGUAGAAGAAAUUAAGGACAAUGUAGGAACUCGAUUGGACCAAAGAUGCAAAUGUUUACAUGGAUUAUUGUGUAUAGAAAAUGAUAUCCCUUUCAGCCUUUCUUUCAAUUAUUGUCCCCUUCCCUAAAAUAAAUCCAUUAGUAGUUUAUUGGAAAGAAAGAAUGGAAACUAUGCUCCAUAUAAAACUAUCAUCACUAACUACUAUUUUGGGUGCCAAAAUGCACUUUUAAUUGGAUUGUUUGCCAGUUUUUAUUUUUUUCGUAGUUCAGGAGUUUUAGCCCCUUUUUGGUGGUCAUUUUUUUUUUUUGAAAAAUAUUAUCUUAAGUAAUAAUUUUUUAGAGAAUGUACGGUUAAGAAGUGAAAAAAAAUUUGGUGUUAAGUUUAUAAUAUUUUAUUGAGUGGAUGUGAUUGAAAAUAAGUAUGAAAGAAAAAGAGUUUUGAAAGAAUAAGGGACAAACUGAGACUUAAUUCAAUGGAGUGAAAUGUUUCAAAAGUCACCGAACUUAUACAUUGGUCACGGACUAAUCACUAAACUAUAUUACAAUGCUUUAAAAUGCUUACUGAACUUGUCCCGUCACUCCAUCCCUCACACCCCAAAAUUUGUUAAUUUUUUUGCUAACGUGGAGGAUGGUAAUCUCACAUGGCCAUAGAUUGCUUGCCACAUCAAUGGUUCAUUCUACUCACAAUUAAUAAUUAUUACUAAAAUUAAAAAAAGAACCAAAAAUAGGACAUUUAAAAUUUGAAACUGUGUUCUUCAUGUGGACACAGUUUUCGUUUUUUACAAAUCACGUUUUUUUAUUUUUUUGUUAAAAAAAAUAUAAAAACAUAAAAAUACACAACUGGAAGCCCAAAUUCAAGCCCCUAUUCUUCCCCAAAUCAGUGAAGUGGAAACUCCUCAAAAACCCUACCCAUUUGUUGACGAACCCUAACAGUAAAUAUUGGAGAUCCGUCCUACAAUCGACCCCAUCUGUUCAAUAUUUACACAUUAUGCACAUGGAGGGACCACUUGAAGGUAACUUGGAACAAAUAUUUUAUAUUUCAUUUGUUGUUUUUGCACGUGAUGUUGGUCUAAAGUUAUUUUUUGUGUUGGAUUUAUGUGAUGGUUAUCUGCUUUAUGAAUAUGGGCUACAAGUAUAAUAAUAUUUUCUUUUUUUUGGGCCGCAUGGACGCCCAAAAUUCAAUGGUUCAGGAAGUGAUGAAAACUCUCUAGAUGGGAUUGAAAAUUACUCGACCGAGGACCCAAACUUCAUCGAUUCUAGUAAUGAGUUAGACUCCAGAGGUAAAUUCUGAUAACAAAUAAACUUGUCUGUGGUUUGUUCCCGUCCAUCAAGUCCUCACACAUUCCAAGUGACCACAAUAGCAUAAGCUUCAUGCGACUCUCUGUCCAGAUGCUUCGGACAUUAUCAUCGCACUACUUUCGUUCGGCUACAAAUUGUUGGACGCGCUAGCGUUUCGCUAUUGGGUUAUGGGCUACAAUUAGAUGAGAAUAGAACAAUGUGAAUAUUUUGGCAUGAUUUAUGGAAAAGUUGAAGAAAUGGGUAGGGCUUUUGAGGAGCUUCAUUUGGGGAAGAACAAGGGCGUGAAUUUGGGCUUCCAGUUGUGUUUUUUUAUGUUUUUAUACGUUUUUUUUUUUCUUUUGUUGUGUUUUUUGGAAACGUGAUUUGUGAAAAAAGGAAACUGUGUCCACAUGAAGAACACGGUUUCAGAUUUCAAAUGUCCUAUUUUUAGUUUUUUUUAAUAAUUAUUAAUUGUGGGUAGGAUGAACCAUUAUGUGGGACGCUGUCUAUGGCCACCCGAGAUUACCGUCCUCCAUGUCAGCAAAAAAAUUAACAGAUUUUAGGGAGCGAGGGAUGGAGUGCAAACGGGACAAGUUUAUUGAGCAUUUUAAAGUAUUUUAUAGUUCAGUGAUUAGUCCAUGACCAAUGUAUAAGUUCAAUGAUUUUUGAAACAUUUCACUCACUUAAUUCAACAAGAAGUAAAAUUUGCUAUAAAAAAAAAAAAGGCUACAAUUAUUUGAGGGGUUAAUUAUAUGAAUGGUCACUGAACUUUGCCCUAUGUUACUACUUAGUCACUGAACUUAAAAAUGUAUCUCAAUGGUCACUGAACUUCGUCAAAUAUUACUAUUUGAUAACCGAAUUUUAAAAUGUAUCUCAAUGGUUACCGAACUUUACACCAUGUUACCCGUCCGUCACUCAAAUGGAAAAAUCCGUUAAGUCCAACAAACUGCGUAAACUUGAGUGACGGGUGGGUAAUAUGGUGUAAAGUUUGGUGACUAUUGAGAUAAAUUUUAAAGUUCGAUUAUGAAGUAAUAACACUUGACGAAGUUCAGUGACCAUUGAGUUACAUUUUUUAAGUUCAGUGACUAACUAGUAACAUAGGGCAAAGUUCAGUGACCAUUAAGAUAUAUUUUUAAAUUGAAUUGUUAAGCCCUUGUUUGAGUCUCAUUCUUUCCAAAAAAAAAAAAUAAUAAUAAUAAAAAUAAAAAUAAAUUCUUAAACGGUGAUUUGACAUCAUUCAACAACACAUUCUUCAAUAAAAUAAUAUUACAUGUAAAUUCAAAAUUUUUUUUUAUUUCUUAACUACAUAUUUUCCAUUAAUAUACUAUUUAAAAAAUCAUUUUAUCCCUCAAAAUGAGGAUCAAAUAAAGGCUAAACUUAUCAAAUCGACCUCUAUGAAAAAAGAAAUUAAAGAAAAUGAGGAGGAAAAAGAGGAAACAGAAAAUCAGAGAUCUAUAAAUUAAAUAAAAAUAGAAUUUUUGCUAAUAUUCAUCCAUAAAUUAAAUAAAAAUAGAAUUAUUGCUAAUAUUCAUCCAUCAUGGUGAAAAAGUACGUUUGAUUUUUAGAUCAAUUGAUAUCAGCUCACCGUAUCUCAAAUUCUGCAUAAAUAGAUUGAAAUAUAAACAGUUGGAACACUAAAAGAAAUUGAUAAAGAAAAGUUAAAUAAAAGUACAAAAAUGUUCGAAUAGUGUCAAUGUAACUGAGGUCGAUUUGAUUUUUCAACUAUGUUACUACUUAGUCACUGAACUUAAAAAUGUAACUCAAUGGUCACUAAACUUCGUCAAGUGUUACUACUUCAUAACCGAACUUUAAAAUGUAUCUCAAUGGUCACCGAACUUUACACCGUGUUACCCAUCCGUCACUCGAGUUGAUGCCAUUUGUUGAACUUAACAGAUUUUUCCAUUUGAGUGACGGAUGAGUAACACGAUGCAAAGUUCGAUAACUAUUGAGAUACAUUUUAAAGUUCGGUUAUGAAGUAAUAGCACUUGACGAAGUUCAGUGACCAUUGAGUUAUAUUUUUAAGUUCAGUGACUAAGUAAUAACAUAGGGCAAAGUUCAGUGGCCAUUCAUAUAAUUAACCCGUCAUUUGAGUAUGUGAAAUGUGACUUUUCAGGAUGUAUUUCGAAGUCUAACGAGUCUCCUUGUGAAUUGAGCCUGCAACUUGCUACUUUUAAGAUACACGUGUUUCAUGGAUUUAACAUAAUAACACGUGGUAGGUGGUAAAGAAGAGAGGGAUCAUGGAUUGACUUUGAGUAGACCGAUAAAUGAGCCUAAAGUUAAGAUCAAAUUCAUCCAAAGUUAAAUAAAACAAUAAUGUCUCCCAGUUUCAGCUUUCAGGAUUAUACAUCUACCAUAUAUAGGCGAAUUUAUGGUAACGAAGAAUUAAUUUGGGAAGAAAUGGCGGACGAAGGUGCCAUGGGACGGAGUGAGUAAUUUUUUUUUAAAUAAUAUAAAAUAAAAUUUCUUAAUCUAUCUAAAAAACAAAAUCAAUAUAUAUAAAUGAGACCAAGUGAGUAAUUUUAAUUAAUUUAUUUAUUUUUAUCCAUGUUAAAAAUCGAAUCAAACAUCUUUAUGUGACAUGGAGAGUACAAAUUAUAUUUUUUCUUAUUCCUCUUUUUUUAAUUUUUAACUUUUUUUUUCCACCUUUUUGACUUAUAUGGAAACUUCUCUUUUUAAGUAAAAAAAAAAUAAUGUAGUUACAAGUUAUUUGGAUUGAAACAUUGGUUUUGAACAAACUUAAUUACAUGAAUAGACAGUAAAUUUGAUCGACGAGAAACAAAUUUGAAAUAGCCCAUAAACUAUCUUCAUUAGUUAUUGCCUGGGUGACAAAAUGCACCUCUAAUUGGAUUGGUAGCAAGUUUUCAUUUCGUCCUUCGUCCAAGAGAUGUAAGGGUUGUUUGAGUCUCAUUUUUCUUAAAAAAUUCAUUUUCUCUAAAAUCAUUUUUCUAUCAUACAUUUUUUAAUAAAAUAAUAUUACAUGUAAAUUAAAAUUUUUUUCUUAAUUUUUAUUCAUACAUUCUUCAAAAAUUACUAUUAAAAAAUACAUUUAUUCUCUCAAAAUGGGACUAAAACAUAAAUUUAAUUAAAUGAGUGGUUAAAUUUGCUGUAAAGAAAAAGUGCUACAGUAACUUAUGUGAACAGUGACUUUCCCAAAACGUGUUUGGGAGUCAACGAGUCUCCGUUUGGUGGGUGGAAAAUAAAGAAGAAAGGGGUUAUAGAAUGACUCAGGUAGACCUAUAAAUAAACCUAAAGUUAAGAUCAAAUUCAUCCAAAGUUACAUGAAAAAAAUUUCUCCCAGUUUCAGUUUUUAGGAUCAUACAUCUGCCAUCUACCAUAUAUAGGCGGAGAAUUAAUUUAAGAAGAAAUGGCAGACGAAACUGCGGUGGGAUUUCUGCUAGAAAACUUGAAGCAGCUACUUCUUUACAAUGCAAAUCUGAUUCUUAAUGUGAAGAGCGACGUCGAAUCUCUGCACAAAGAUCUGCAAUUGUUCAAAGCCUUUCUCAAAGAUAUGGCAAAAAGGGACAACAACCCUGAAGUCCUAAAUUCACUGGUGAAUCAAAUCAGAGACAUUGUGUACGAAGCAGAAGACUAUGUGGACAUGUAUGUUUCUCAUUCAGCUAUGCAGAAGGCUCGAAGAGGCGUCGAAAGAUUUGUCCAUAUAUUCGAUCAUACGACGACGCUUCGAGGUACGGCAGAGAAGAUUAAGGCUACGAGGACCAAGGUCAAUGAAAUAUAUCAAAACAAGAUAUUUGGGUUUGAAGCCCUGCUAGUUGCUGCUCCUGCGGUCAAAAAGAAAGAGGUAAAUUGCCAUUACUCUGAUUAGUGAUUUCGAAUCUUUGCUAAUUGAUUAUUUGCUUAGUUGAUUGUGUUUACAAUUUAUCAUUUCCGAGCAUGUUUGGCUAAUCAUAAUAAAAACUUGGUAAUUUGUUUAGAAAAAAAUAAACUGGGCAUCUCGAGGGAAUCUUGAUAUUAGAAGUUAGGGGAGUAUUUUUCAAAACAAGGAAACACAAGAUCUGAUGAAUUCAAUAAGAACGAAAAUUAAGUUGACCAAACCUCCUUUGUUGUUUCAAGAAUUAAUUAAUUUUAAUGCUAAUUUUAAAAUUGUAAUUUAGAGCCAGUUUGACAUGCUUCUGCUUCUUUAUCGAAAAGCUCUUCUUUUUGAGAAAAAUAUGUUUUAUAGUAGCUUCUUUAUAUCAUUAGUUGCCUAAUAAAUCUUUACUCUGUACAUAAUUCAUUUUCAUUUAUAUGUGUCAUUAAAAUAUAUGACUAAUAAAGUAUGUUUCAUAUUCCUCUUUGACAUAUUUACUUUAAUUCACACAAUAAAAUAUUAUAUAUGUAAACUUAAAACAUUUUUCUACUUUUUAACCACACAUUCUAAAAAAAAAUACUAUUCAAAAUAAUGUUUUAAUAUUUGAAAGAUGUCAAAUAGGGUCUUAAUUAGUGAGUAAUACUACCUAUUCAAUUAUUUAUAUGGACCGAGUUUCAUUUUCUCUUGUCCUAAAAUAUAGGCCUAUAUCUUAAUUUAGAAUAGGUUGUUUUGUUCCUUUACUAAUAUACCUUAAUCAAUUUUUCUCACUUAAUAUGCCAACUUUUUGAAAUUAUUCAAAUACACACAUUUCCCACUUUUUAGAAACAUGAACAACUCUCGUUUCUUCUUCUUCAAAUUAAAUCAUUCAAAUUUUUUACUAAUUCCAACAAUAAUUUAUUACUGUAUAUUGAAUUUUAAAUAGGGGUAAAUUAGGAAAGAUCUUGGUAAGAAUUAAUUUUCCAAUGACAUUAAAUAAGAUUUCUUAAUCUGUGUGAAAAACGAAACAAGUCUAUAUAAUUGGGAUGAAGGGAGUAUUAGUAGAUAUGCAUUCCUAGUUAGGUGACAAUGGGUCCCUUGCUUCAUUUUUUAAUCUAUUAAAGUGCGUUACACCUAUAAUGGAUAAUGAAUCGAAUUCCAUUGCCAUCUUUACCACCUAACUAGUGAUGCAACUCUACUAAUGAAAAAUAACAUUAUUCUUUCUGCUAUUGAUCCCAGCUUAUCUUCAAACAAUUGCAACACUAAAUAUCAUUACAUGAUUUUGAAUGAAGUGUGUACUACUAAACUAAGUUUACUACAAUCUUGAAUGCCAUUUGGUCUCCAUUUAAUAUCAAUACUAUUAUAACAUAUAUUAAAGGCUCCAAUUUCACCUCAACUGAUUAUUGCUCACUAUAUUAUAGCCUCCCAUUGUGGAAGACAACGUGGUGGGCUUUGAAGAUGAGGCCCAAACAGUAACCAAACUUCUCACUGAAGGGUCCGAGGAACUACAAGUUAUAUCAAUAGUUGGCAUGGCUGGUCUUGGUAAGACAACACUGGCUAAAAUGAUAUAUACUGAUCGUGAUAUUGAGUUUGAAUUCUACAACCGCGCAUGGAUUUUUGUUUCUCAAAAAUAUAGUAAAAAGGAAGUGCUUCAGGAUAUUCUACGACAACUUACUGCUAAGCCUAGUAAAUCUGACAUGAAUGAAGUUGAAUUAGUUGAUGAACUUCGUAAAUUUUUGAAGGAAGCAAAAUAUUUAAUUGUCAUGGAUGACGUGUGGACUAACGAUGCUUGGGAUGAUUUAAAAACUGCGUUUCCUGUAAACAAGAAGAAGAGUAGAAUUUUACUUACUACUCGUAUUGAAAAAGUGGCUAAGUGUGCCAACCCCAACAUUGAACCCCAUAAGUUGCGAUUUCUAACUGCUCAAGAAAGUAGGACUUUAUUCCAAAGGAAGGCACUUGGAUCAAUGGAGUGUCCUGACGAGUUGAGAGACCACGAACAGCGAAUUGUUCAGAAAUGUAAAGGACUACCACUGACAAUAGUUGUGAUUGGAGGAAUUUUGCUAGGAAAAGGUAAGGAAAGUGAAUCGUGGAAAAAAGUUGCUGAAAGUGUGGAGGCAUUUAUUAACAUGGACGAGCAGAAAAAAAUGGACCAUAGUAUACAAAUGAGUUUUGAUCAUUUACCUUAUCACUUGAAACCAUGUUUUCUCUACUUUGGGAUAUAUCCUGAAGACUUCCAAAUUCCAGUAUGGAAACUGCUUCGCCUUUGGAUCGCUGAAGGAUUCAUACAGCAAAGUGAAGGAAUGAAUAUGAGUUUGGAGGAUAUUGCUGAAGAGUACUUGGAAGAUUUCAUCAGCAGGAAUUUAGUCAUGGUUGGGCAAAGGAGGUCAAAUGGCAAAGUUAAAACGUGCCAUAUUCAUGACAUGCUACACUUGUUUUGCAAGACACGAGCUGCACAAGAAAGUUUUUUCGUCGAAAUUACGCAUCUUAAUCAAGCUACUUAUUCAUCUCCCAACAUUGACUCUGAAAAGUGUCGUCGCCUUUCCAUCAAUUCCAGAAUUUCGAACUAUCUCUUUUCAAAACCAAGUGGUCCACGUGUUCCACGUGUUCGGUCUUUUUUGUGUUUCUCCCAUGAAGAAAUAACCUUGCAAAAUGAGCAAAAUUCUUCAAUCCCUCAUGCAUUUCAAUUGCUCAGGGUGUUAGAUGGUAAACCCAUCCAUUUCACUCGUUUUCCUCCUGACCUAACUCUACUUGUACAUUUGAGGUAUCUUGUUCUCUCCUGCACCAUCAAAAUACUUCCUGCAUCCCUUUCCAGCCUUUGGAACAUACAAACUCUUGUAGUUGAGACAUCAUCACGCACCCUUGAAAUCAAAGCAGAUGUAUGGAAGAUGAUUCAAAUGAGGCAUCUAAAAACAAACGUAUCCACAACAUUGAAAGGCCCUCUCGCUAAAUCAAGAAAAAGUAAAGAAGAUUCUUUGAACUUCAAAACACUUUCUACAAUAUCACCUGAAAGUUGUACAGAAGAUGUCUUUUCUGCAGCUCCAAACCUAAGCAAAUUGGGUAUUCGGGGCAAAAUAGCUAAACUAUUGGAUACCAAGGGUACUGGAUCUAGUUUGUUUGACAGUCUGGGAAAAUUGGAUUACCUUGAAAAUUUG
This 79368-nucleotide long non-coding RNA is filed under the name Olea europaea (common olive). Its description in RNAcentral is "long non-coding RNA (OEUR_LNC006834)". The stretch from base 12541 to 12648 matches the Rfam family "Plant small nucleolar RNA R71". The record is from RNAcentral. Lineage: Eukaryota; Viridiplantae; Streptophyta; Magnoliopsida; Lamiales; Oleaceae.